RNAcentral lists this long non-coding RNA (65525 nucleotides) under Capsicum annuum. RNAcentral describes it as "long non-coding RNA (CANN_LNC012738)". The record is from RNAcentral. Lineage: Eukaryota; Viridiplantae; Streptophyta; Magnoliopsida; Solanales; Solanaceae.
AAAAAGUUGUUUAGACUCGCUAAGGCUAGGGAGAGGAAGGGUCGUGACCUCGAUCAGGUGAGUGCAUUAAGGGGGAGGACGGUAGUGUGUUGGUGGAGGACGGCCUCAUUAAGAAUAGAUGGCAGUCGUACUUUCAUAGGCUCUUGAAUGACGGAGGGGAUAGAGCUAUUGUGUUAGGGGAACUGGAGCACUCAGAGGAGUGUCGGGAUUUUAGCUAUUGUAGACGUUUUAAGGUAGAAGAGGUUAGACAGGUUGUUCGCAGGAUGCGAAGGGGUAGGGCGACGGGGCCGGAUGAGAUACCGGUGGAGUUUUGGAAGUUCGUUGGAGAGGCUGGUAUAAGGUGGUUGACUGGAUUGUUUAAUGAAAUCUUCAAGACGGCAAAGAUGCCCGAGGCUUGGAGGUGGAGUACCAUGAUCCCUCUCUAUAAGAAUAAGGGUGACAUACAGAGUUGCAAUAACUAUAGGGGGAUUAAGUUAUUGAGUCACUCUAUGAAAAUCUGGGAGAGAGUGGUCGAGGUGAGGCUGAGACGGAUAGUGUCUAUUUCAGAAAACCAGUUUGGAUUUAUGCCUGGCCGCUCGACGACGGAGGCAAUUCACCUGGUACGGAGGUUGGUGGAACAGUAUAGGGAGAGGAAGAAGGACCUGCACAUGGUGUUUAUCGACCUGGAGAAGGCCUACGACAAAGUCCCUAGGGAGGUGCUUUGGAGAUGCUUGGAGGUGAGGGGAGUACCGCUGGCAUACAUCAGAGCAAUCAAGGAUAUGUAUGAUGGAGCGAAAACUAAGGUGAGGACGGCGGGAGGAGACUCAGAACAUUUCACGGUCCGGACAGGGUUGCAUCAGGGAUCUACUCUUAGUCCCUUUUUGUUUGCAGUGGUAAUGGAUGUGUUGACGCGGCGUAUUCAAGGGGAGGUGCCGUGGUGUAUGCUUUUUGCAGACGAUGUAGUUCUGAUAGCUGAGACCCGAGAGGGUGUGAGCGACAAAUUAGAGGUGUGGAGGCAAACCCUUGAGUAUAAAGGGUUCAGGGUGAGCAGAAGCAAGACAGAGUAUGUGGAAUGCAAGUUUAAUGACAUGAGGAGGGAGAACGAGGUAGUAGUGAAGCUGGAAUCACAGGAGGUAGGUAAGAGGGAGAGUUUCAAGUAUCUCGGGUCCGUGAUCCAGAGUAACGGUGAGAUUGAUGAGGAUGUCUCGCACCGUAUUGGGGCGGGAUGGAUGAAGUGGAAGCUCGCGUCAGGGGUGCUGUGUGAUAAGAAGGUGCCGCCUAAGCUUAAAGGCAAAUUCUACAGGGCGGUAGUCCGUCCGGCCAUGUUGACUUGGAGGAGGUUUUAUGUCCGUUAUGAUUCCGUGUUUCAUGUUGUAUUACGAAUCUGUGUGCUUUUCUCUGUUUUAUAUUACUUAUGGGUGCCGUAUUUAUGUUAUGUAAUCUUGUGCUGUGCUUGACUAUGUGUUUGUGUGGUAUCUCGUGCCUUGAGCCGGGGGUCUAUCGGAAAUAGCCUUUCUACUUCUUUAGAGGUAGAGGUAUGGACUGCGUACAUCUUACCCCCCCAGACCCCACUAGGUGGGAAUAUACUGGGUUUGUUGUUGUUGUUGUUUCUUAGCAAGCAUGUCUGUCAAUGGAGUUCUUUUAAAUGUUGACCAGUUUUGCUUUAGACUUUUUGAUUUUUUCUCUCUUUUCUUUAUUUCCUUUUUCUUGAACUUGUAUUGUGAAAUAUAUUGAACAAUUGUUUUUUUAAUGGUUAAUCGAAUAUGUACAAUUAGAAAUGAAUCUUCUCCAGUUUUACCAGCUAAUAGCGUAAGACCUUAUUUUGAUACUGGCAGUUUGCAUGUUGGCCUUGACUCACUGUCAGUUAAGUUCCAUCGAAAUGGUAAGUUGUACUUGGGAACAAAACAUGCUAGCCAUAGAAGGAAUGCAAUCACUUUGAUGUCUACUUUGCUAAAAUGGCUCUAGAUGAGCAUGACCCUUCACUACCACUGUCUAAUUUUUAUUAUUGUUAUUAUUCUUUGGUUUUUCCGAUAACCGAGAAAUCCUCGAGGGCUAGUGGCACAGAGUGCAAAACUCAGUGAAUAAAUGUGCUUUCCCCUUUUUUGUCUUUAUAUAUUUAUCUGAGAACUGACCUGAUCGAAAUGACCUAAUCAACCAUAUUCGUUGUAUUGGAGUAUGAUACUUUGACUUAAAGGAGUAUUACUGAAGAGGAGAGCUAUAUUUUUUUCCAGAAACUAUUGAGGUAUAAGCCCAAUAAUGAAGCAGUGGGAUAGAUGUAUUCCUGGUUCCUACAGACUUAUACAAUAGGACAACAACAACAACAACAUACCUAGUGUAUUCCCAUCAAGUAGGGGUCUGGGAAAGGUAAAAUGUACGCUGUCCAUCCCACUACCUCAGAUGAAGUAGAGAGGUUGUUUCCGAUAGACCCCCGGCUCAGGACAGAUAACAAUAUAACAAACAAACCACAUAAAAGCAUACAUCCAUACGACAAUACUAUAAUAACAGAUAGAAAAGGAUAAUAACUAAAACAAGACACGCAUAAGAUGAUACUAAAAAUAUCUAUUCGAAAAACAUAGGUAUCACCAAUACACCACAGACGUACUCCUACACACUAACCCUCUACCCUAAUCCUCUUCCUCCGCACCUUCCUAUCAAGGGUCAUGUCCUCCGUAAGCUGUAACUGCUCCAUGUCAUGUCUAAUCACCUCCCUCCAAUACUUCUUAGGCCUACCUCUCCCCUCCUAAAACCAUCCGUAGCCAUCCUCUCACAUCGCGGUACUGGAGCAUCCGUGCCCCUCCUCAUCACAUGCCCAAACCAUUGCAACCUCACUUCCCGCAUCUUGUCCUCCACCGAAGUCACCCCUAUCUUCUCCCGGAUAAUCUCAUUUCUAACCCUAUCCCUCCUGGUAAGUCCACACAUCCAUCACAACAUUCUCAUCUCCGCCACCUUCAACUUCUGUAUGUGGGAGUUCUUAACUGGCCAACACUCCGCUCCAUACAACAUAGCCGGUCGAACUACCACUCUGUAGAACUUACCUUUGAGUUUAGGCGACACCUUCUUAUCACACAAGAUUCCUGAAGUGAGCCUCCAUUUCAACCACUCUGCACCAAUAUGGUGCGUGGCACCCUCAUUAAUCUCCCUAUUCCCUUGAAUCAUAGACCCAAGGUACUUGAAACUCUCCCUCUUCUGGACUAUCUGGGAAUCAAGCUUCACUACCACGUCCGCUUUGUGCGAUAAAUCACUACACUUACAUUCCAAAUACUCCGUCUUAGUCCUGCUCAACCUAAAACCUUUAGACUCAAGGGUCUGUCUCCAAAGCUCCAACUUAUCAUUAGCUCCUCUCCGAGUUUCAUCAAUCAGAACAACAUCGUCAGCAAAUAACAUACACCAGGGCACUUCCCCUUGGAUAUGUCGUGUCAAAACAUCCAUCACCAAGGCAAAUAAAAAUGGGUUAAGAGUCGAUCCCUGGUGCAACCCUGUCAAAACCGGAAAGUGCUCUGAAUCUUCUUUUGCCGUCCUCACUCGAGUCUUCGCAUUGUCGUACAUGUCCUGUAUCGACCUAGUGUAUGCCACGGGCACCCCUCUAGCCUCCAAGCACCUCCAUAAUAUCUCCCUGAGAACUUUGUCAUAGGCCUUCUCAAGAUUGAUAAACACCAUGUGCAAGUCCUUCUUUCUCUCCCUAAACUGCUCUACUAACCUCCUCACGAGGUGAAUGGCCUUCGUAGUCGAGCGACCUGGCAUGAAACCAAACUGAUUCUCGAAAAUAGGCACGAUCCUCCUCAGUCUCAACUCUAUCACCAUUUCCCAAACCUUCAUAGUAUGACUCAACAACUUGAUACCACUAUAGUUGUUGCAACUCUAAAUCUCCCUCUUGUUCUUAUAUAGAGGAACCAUCGUACUCCAUUUCCACGCUCCGAGCAUAUUUGCUGCCCUAAAAAUGGUGUUAAACAAUCUCGUCAGCCACUCCAAACUUGCCUCGCCCGUGCUCUUUCAAAAGUCCACCGGAAUCUCAUCUGGCCAGUCGCCCUGCCCCUACGCAUCCUGCGAAUAGCCUCCUUGACCUCCUCCACCUUGAUACGCCUACAAUAGCCAUAAUCACGACACUUCUAUGAGUUCUUCAAGUCCCCCAUGACGAAACCCUUAUACCCCUCGUCGUUCAAAAGUCUUUGGAAAUAAGAUUGCCACCUCUUGAUGAGGGCAUCCUCCACCAACACUUUGCCAUCCUCCCCCUUGAUGGCACUUCACUUGGUCAAGGUCCACACGUCUUCCGCUCCCUAGCCUUGGCAAGCCUAUACAACUUUCCAUCCCCGCCUUUCUCUUCUAAAGCCGCAUACAAGCUCUCGAAAACCGCUGUCUUCGCCGUAGUAUCCGCUAACUUAGCCUUUUUCCUAGCUAACUUAUACUUUUCUUUAUUCGUCCGAUUCUUCUCGUCAUCCUUGCUCUCCACCAACUUAGCAUACACCACCUUCUUAGUCUCCACCUUCCGUUUGACUUCUUCAUUCCACCACCAGACCCCCUGGUGCUUGCCCGAUCGGCCUCUCGAAACACCCAACACCUCUUUAGCGGUCUCCCUAGUCUUCUCCCACAUACUGUCCACAUCCCCUCUACUCUCCCAAGCCCCCUGAGUCGUCAACUUCUCCUCUAUCUCCAACGCACUGUCCAAAGUCAAACUACCCCACUUAAUCCUGGGUCGAUCCUCCACUCCCCUCUUCUUUUUGGCUUUUCUGAUUACCAAUUCCAUCACCAGAAGCUUAUGUUGGGUCGAAAGAAUCUCGCUAGGUAUGACUUAUACAAUAGAAGUCUCUAAAAUAUAGGAGAGGAGAGAAUAAGAAAAUAGUAAAUCAAAUUUGUCUUCCAAGGAAAUUUUUUUUUAUUCCGAACAAUGCCAGGAUGUUACUGUAGGUUACCAUAAUUUGUCUGGCCCAUAUCCAGUUUGCCAGUUAGCUUGGAACAAGCAGUUUGUUUGCUUCCAAUUCACAAACUCGAACUUUCAGAGCUUCCAUUGUGCUUUAUUAUUAAACUUGAGCAUGAUUUUUUCCAAAAUUGUAACUGUUAGAGGGGUUUUGAGCACCUAAUGAUUUGUAUCAACUUAAGUGGUCGUUUGGUAGAGUGUAUAAGAAUAAUGCAGAAUAUGGUGUAUUAGUAAUGCUUGUGUUAGCUAUGCUUGUAUUUUCUUAUGCAGUGUUUGGUUUGAUGUAAUAAAAAUAACAUGAAUUACAUAAUUUCUAAAAAAAAAGAUUUUUUUUACAAAAAUAUCCUCCAUGUAUAUGUUGGAAAGGAUGCGAAUUUUUUUUUGAGGGAUAAUAGUGUCUUUAAUCAUGUUAAUACGUGCAUUGAAUUGUUGCAUUGCUAAUACCAUUGAUUUUGAUGUAUUAGUAAUACACACCUCAAUACACAAUAGAGUGUAUAACUAAUGCAAGCGUUAGUUUUACAUAGGGUGAAAACAUGUACCAAACAAGGUACUAAUAAUACAUAUUAAACUAAUGAAUGCAUUAGCUUUCCAAUACACUCUACCAAACGACUGCUAAAAAUUUGAGUCUGAGCUUUAUCAGUUUGGUACUUUGGAAUGUGUUCAGUUCUUCAUGACGCUAAUACUUAUUUAUUAAUGACAUUAUUGCAGCAAUAUGAGGUUAUACAACAUCAUACACAUCUUACUGUUCAAGAAUACUACGGGGCCAAAGGAGUUGAUGAUUGGAAUGCAGAAUCCUGGAAAAAAGAAACUGAUGAUAAUGAUGUAAGUGGUUCCCUUUUCUUGGUUUUCUGUACUAAAGGUGUUUGCUGAAAUAAUUAUAUGAUAAUCAAUAAACCUGACAUCUAGGGUAAUACAAUCUGUGCCAAGCAAGUUUACUUUUCUGACCCCAAGAUGACUAGCUCAACUGUGGUUCUGUAGUCAAGAUAUUAUCAUUUGAUAAAUAGUCUAUUUAAGAAUCAAAGAAUUACCCUUUGUCAUUGAAAUAAAUCCCUUAAACAGGUCAAGUUAAACUACGCAUGAAGCUUCAUAUUGUUGAUUCACAGAUUUAUAUGUAAAAGUUAUUUUACUGUCCUUGUUGAGGUUAUGGACACUGCACUAACAUGUUGAUGAAUGACAAAGGAAUUGUCAAAUGAUCAGCCUUUCUGAUUGUAUGAUUGUAGUUCUUAAAUUUCUAGGUCUACUACACAAGAACAUAUUUAAACUACUCUGUGCCUCACAUUCCGCUUUCUGAUUGUAGAUUCUGAUAUAUAUGAUUAGUAUUGUAAAGGUAGUGCCACACUCAAUGUUUUCUGCAUGUUACUUGUGAUCUUAGUCUAAUGGAAAGUCUAUCUAAGCCAAAUUCACUGAUCAGGUCUGAGCGCCAUAAAUUUUCCAGACAAGUCUGACCAAUUUCCUUGCAGAUCACAUGGAAAAGAUGUUCGUGUCUAUCUAGCUACCAGAAAUUACAUAUCAGUUUAGCAGUCAAUUGUAGUUAGCAAAAAUGUGCAUGCAUGAUUGUAUGAGAUCACACAAUCCUUCUGUUUUCUCUCAUUUAGAAUAUUUGUGAGUCUGGCUCACAUUCUUCUCUUAUUAUCUAUAAAAGCGACUGUGUAGAGCUCCGAAGUGGGUUGGGUUAGAAUAAAACAAGAUUUUAGGUGCUUGGAGGAGAUACCUUUGGGGUGAGAGUGAUCCUAUUUCUAGGUCUAAAUCCAGCUAGAAAUUUGUAGACUCUUAUCAGAUCCAACAUUGGAGUUGGUCGUACUACUUUGACUUGAAACCUCUGUGGUCUUUUUUGUAUGUUGACUUCUUCUUUAGUAAGGUUACCACAUGCUUUUCUAAGUAAUUUAUGGAUGGGCACUAAAUCUUAAUUUAUAUGCAAUUACUAUAGGUUUUGGUUAUGACACCCCAAAUUUUCUUGGAUGCUCUGAGAAAGGGUUACAUAAAAUUUGAUAGUGUGUGCUUUCUGAUACUAGAUGAGUGCCAUCGUGCCAGUGGUAACCAUCCUUAUUCUAGGAUUAUGAAGGUAAGCCUCACUUCUUUCAUGUGACUUUUCCUUAUUUUUUUUUGAGUAAUGUAACAGACUUUUCCUUAAUCCCUUCUUAAACUUUAUCAUCUUCUCAUUAUCCUGUUGGACAUGCUCCCGUGCACUCUCUAUAACCAUCAAAGGAAUUCUAUCAUCUAUCCAGAAAGAGAUCGAAGGUUUUUGGGAUGACCGCUUCCCCUGUGAUUAGAAAAGGUAAUUUUUGGCCUUCGUUGUUUCUGCCUACUUCUCUUUGCUCCAGUCACUCACACAUCAAGAAUUAAACAACUGAAACACGGAUAAAGGGGUUUCAAGGCACAAGAAUCUAUAAUGCUCAUGACGAACAGAAAUCAUGUAAAUGUUGCAGAAGUGAAAUUAGAUGCUUGAAAUCCCUUUAUUUUUUGGGGUGUAAGAGCAGUAGAGUGGAAGUGUUUUGCUGUUCUUAACUACUUACAUGCGAUAGCUCUUGCUUCUUUGCCGUCUAUUCGCUCUUCACCUUCCCAUUAGUUUUUGCGGCUUUACUGUAUCUUUUAUUAAAGAAGAAUUUGUUGCCUUUCCCCUUCCAUCUGAUGAUUAUACUCUUGUUUUACUAACUCACUAUAUUUAUUCUCUUAUUUUGUUUUUUAUUCCAUGAAAAUAUGAAAAGAAAAUUGCCUUCUGAAAAUAUACACAUGUCUGUAUGGGCACAUACUUGCAUACACCUAGUAGUGGGAUGUAAUGACUUCUCCAUCUUAUUGAGGACCUGACCUAAGAUCUUGUUGGUGGUUACUUCUAUUUGUUUUAUUUAUAUUUAAUUUAAAGUAAUUCUUAUUAUUAACGCUUAUAAAAGAAACCCUCAAAUCACUUGGUAUAUAAACCGGAGUCGUUGACUUUCACUUAGAUAUUAUCUGAGCUUGCUUGAGCCACAUUUUUCAUCAAACUUUGUGAGGUUCUUCGGGAUGUAUUCGUCUUCAAAGAAUUGGACUCGUAACGCUUCAUCCACAGCCUUUGAUGAGUGUGUAUAACAGGUCUUAUUUACUUUCAUGGAUUAAUGCGAUAUAUUUGCUUCAUACACGUUAUUUUGCUGUCAUUACUGUUCUUUUCUCUCCUCUAUAUGUUGUGUACUGAUCCCAUUUCACAUUAUUUCUUAUGGUUACUGCUCUCACUUCUGUAUUCCCCUUUUCAAAUUGCUUGGAAACACUUUAUUUUAAGCUAAGGUUCUAUCUGAAAUAGCCUCUCUAUCUCUACGAGGUAGGGCUAAGGUCUGUGUACACUCCACCCUCCUCAGGCCCCAAUUUUGGGAUUACACGGGAUAUGUUGUUAUCCUUGUUAGAAGAACAAGGAUGUAUACAUUGCUUGUUUUGAACUUGUAUAUAUGGCUUCUGUGCUGCAGAUUUAUGUAGUGUUACCUUUCUUAAAAAAGAGAGACAACGAUUUUAAAAAGACUAUAGGACCCAUUGCUAUUUAAUUAUUUUAAGAGUUUCUUAUUCCCAUUUUAGAGAUUCUGUAUUGACUUUUUUCUUUCUCAAAUAUACUCACUGUCUUUUCAGUUGGACUAUGCCUAAACUUUGGUUCGUCAUCCUUCCAUUUUUUAUCAUGGAUAUAUGCUAAUACUUUUGAUUUCAGCCAUCUUAGUUUAUUCGAAUGCGAUACAUUAAGGUUUAGAUCUUUUGUGGAUUUAUCUUGUAUACCCUUUCGAUCAGGUGUUUCAUCUUCGACAGAUUGCGAGGAGCAAAUUUCAGAACUUGAAAGUCUUCUUGAUUCCCAGGUAAUCUUCUAGCAAACCCUGUCACUUUAUUCAUUUAUUGCAGCCCGUGAAUAGUUUUCUUAACCCUAGUUAGAGUAAUGGUUCCUAAUGCAUCAGUAUAUGGUUUCUUCUUGUAUAGAUAUAUACACUCGAGAACAGGGUGGAGCUGGAUGAAUUUGUUCCUUCCGCAAAGGAGACUAGUAAAUUCUAUGAUCCAAUAGUGUUUUUGAAUACAGAAUUAAAGGAAAAUUUGAAAUUCUCAUGGUCAAAGGUAAAUGCCCGUAUGCAUAUAUCAUAUCAAAUAGGACAGUGUAGGAUAUCUGUUAAACAACCGAUAUGGCUCUUACAUUUUAAUCUAUCUCCAUUUAGUGCUUGAUGCUUAUUCUUUCUUUCAUAUUCCCGAUUCUUCAGUUUUUGAGAUUAAGGGCUACCUCUUACCAUUGUUCACGAAGAUUAUUUUGAGGGAGAAAUGAACGUUUAGAAUUGAGAGAAUGCGUAAAGGGAACUCUCCUACACCUAAAAGCGUUUAUGUGCACAUUAUACAUUCUAGUCCCUAUGAACGUGCUUUGCACGUUAUUCUAUGUCAAUCUUAAUUGUCGCAAAAAAUAUUAGGAAAUACCGUAAUAUUAUUUAUAAUUACAUACAUUUAUUUUAUGAGGUACAAAAUAGUUACUAUAGCAUAAGAAUUUAAUUAUGUGAUACUUCUGUGAAAAUGAUUGUUCUUGGUAUAUAUUUUUUCUUACAUGAACAACAUGUUACUAUACAGAUAAUCCAAUAUUAAGGAUUUAGUGACCAUAUGUUUAUUUAUUAACAUUUACAAAUAUAAAAGUAUUGGCUAGUUACGAUGGUGGUGUUUUCAAAACUUAAAUGAUGUCUUAUUGUGCUAAACUCCAGGAAUGUUCAGUUUCGGUCCUUAAACUUCAUACUUCUGUCUUACUUCUAACUUCAUACUUUUGUCUUACUCUUUCCUUCUCAUUUGCCGGAGUGGAUGUAGUCAUGCCCUUGCUUAUGUACUUAGAUAUUGGUAAAGAUUGCUUAGUCAGUAGCCUUGAGUGCUUUUCUGGAUGUUGAAUACGUAGUACUUGUUGACAUAGUUCCCCAUAUGAAUAAUAUGCUUCUUUGGAAUGUGACGUGAUAAAAUGUUUCGCAAAACUCAAGCCCUUGUACUUAAUUCAAGAUAUUUUCAUGAACAGUUUGAUGCUGCCUUGACUGACUUGAAACUGUCACUGCCAAGUCAGUACAAAGAUACAGAUGACAUGUAUAAGAAGCUUCAGAAGAGAUUAUCCAACUGUUAUGCAAAGAUAGUGUGUUGCCUUGAAAAUCUAGGCAUCAUUUGUGCUUAUGAGGUAUGAUUAUAAAGUUUUAUGAUAUGUUAUUCGUUUUCAUUUCUUAGUAAUAUAUAUAUAUAUAUAUAUAAUUGAAGGAGAGGCGCACAACUAGCUCCACCUAGGGCUUACUUUCAUCUUCUAUUUCUAUCUAUUGAAGCAUACACAUUCAUCAUUAGCACAAAUAUAUAUAUGCAUAAUAAUUCAUUACCUUUCUGUUUGAGGUAAAGAUGCUUAGGCCUCUCUUACAUGAAACAGUGUUUAGUAAGGGUGUGAAUCCAACUAAUAUUAAUUCGUCUACGCGGCGCUUCGAAUUGCAUUAUUUAGAACCAAAGAACAGACUGUAUUUUUGGUUAGCUGGUUCUAUCUAUUUUGUACCUUGAACUUUUAGAUUGGAUUGGUCUUUGUCCAACUGAUCAUCUUCUCUCCUUGAAGUAAGCAAGGAUGUCCAUUCCAUAAAAUAUGAUCUCCGCUACUUACUGGACACUGAGAGAAUGAGAACAUGCGUCCAUCUAUAUUCAAGUCCAAAUAAUUUCAAUUCACAAAAUCUCCUUAGUUGAUUCUAACUAUAUACACAAUAUCCUCAACACUACCCCCUCAAGAUGGUACAUGCAAGUCAUAUGUAUCAGUAAUGGAUUUGGUGAAAAUAUCUGCAAAUUGAUCAUUUGACUUCACAAAAUUUGUGACAAUGUUUCCUGGAAGUAUCUUUGCUCUCACAAAGGGACAAUCAAUCCCUAUGUUUAGUUUCUCAUGAAACACGCAUCCGAUGCAAUAUGAAGAGCAACUUGAUUAUGUCACACAAGUUUAGUCUCGUUAGUUUGUCCAAACUUUAAUUCUCUAAGCAUUUUUUGAACCAAACUAGUCCGCAUGUUGUCAUAUAGAUCAUUGAAUAUUUCGCUUCUGCACUAGAACGUGCAACGUCAUUUGUUUUUUUGUGUUACCAACACACCAUAUUACCUCCAAUGAGAAUACAGUAUCCAGAAGUAGACUGCCACAUUAGUCUAGUCGAAAGCAUUUAUAAGAUCAUCCCUAAGGUGCUUUCCCACAAGACUUAAAGAAGGUGCUAAAUGAGACUGUAUCUACCUUGCAAAAUGCUUUUAUGGAGGGUAGUCAGAUGUUGGUUGCAAUUUGGUGUCAAAUGAAGUGGUAGAUUCGAGGAGAAAGCAAGGUGUGACAAAUAUGUUGUGUAAGCUUGAACUUGAGAAGGCCUACGAUCAUGUGAGCUGGAGUUUCCUAGAUUUUCAUCAUGACUCGGAUGGGAUUUGGGGAAAAAUGGAGAAAAUGGAUCAGAUUCUGCAUUUCUUCCGUGAUAUAUUCAGUUUUAGCGAACGACAAUCUAUGCAGUUUUUUGGGAGUUCUAAGGGUCUGAGACAAAGGGAUCCUUUGUCUCCGAGCUUGUUCAUCCUUGUUAUGGAAGCUCUGUGUAGGGUGAUGGACAAAGCUAUCAUGGGAGGUUUUUUAAAAGGAUUUAGUGCAGUGAUUGGGGGUGUUGGGGACAGUCUUAGUUUCCCACUUAUUGUUUGCAGAUGAUACUUUGGUUUGUUGUGAUGCUAAUAUGAACCAGCUGGAUUAUUUAGGCCAGUGCGUACUUGAUUUUAGGUGGUGUCAAGCCUUAAAAUUAACCCAAGUAAUUGUGAGAUUUUUCUAGUCAGGGAGGUGGCUGACAUUGGGAUGCUUGCUCAGUUGAAAUGCAGAGUGAGGGCUCUUACCUAUCUUGGACUACCAUUAGGAGCUUCAAACAAGGAUGUUUUGGUGUGGAAUUCGGUUCUUCAGUGGGUUGAGAAGAGAUUAACGGGGUGACAAAAAAGAUACGUGUCCAAAAAGGAAAAGAGGUGCUUAUUAAGAGCACCUUAUCAAGUAUACUCACUUAUUUCUUGUUUCUGUUUCAAGCUCCAAUUUCGGUCAUAGGAAAAUUGGAGACUUUGCGAAGGAUUUUCUUUGGGAUGGGGCGGAUGGAGCAAAGAAAUUUCACUUGGUGCAUGGGAAGACUGUCACAUCUGCUAAAGAAAAUGGGGAGGUCUAGGAAUUAAAGAUUUGACAAUGUUUGUUGGGCAAAUGUCUUUGGCUUUUCGGGGUGGAGUACAUGUUUUUUUGAGAGUGGUGAUAGUUAAUAAAUAUGGGGUAAUGGAAGGGGGAUGGAGGACUAGAAAUGUCAUUAUGCUCCUUGGGUGUGGUUUGUGGAGAAAUAUAAUGAAGGGAUGGGAUGAUUUCAAUCGAAAUAUCAUUCAAGGUUGGAAAUGGGAGAAGAGUUAAUUUUGGGGGUAUAGGUGGUGUGGGGAUAACUUAUUGAAAGAUGAUUUCCAGAUAGAAUGUCAUGCCAAAGAAACCUAUCGGUCCAAUAAAUUAGGGAGAUACAUGGUGGAGAGACGUUUUGGGAUUUGAGAUUUAGAAGGUAUUUCCAUGAUUGGGAGGCGACCAAACUCCAAUUGAUGGCCAUCCUUCACAGUCAAGUCAAUUCGGUGGAUGAACUUGAUGCUUCGUGGAGGGGUUUGAGGAACACUGGGGUCUUCUCUAGUAAAUCUUUUUAUGAGAAACUCCUAAUUAGGGAGGAGGUUGUGUUUCCAUGUGAUGCAAUUUGGAUAGCGUUGGUGCCGAGGAAGGUGUGUUUUUCUCUUGGCAAGCAUCUAGAGGGGUGAUUAUGACGGCGGAAAAUCUAAGAAAACAUAAGGUUAUCUGUGUUUGGUGCUUCAUGUGUAAGGAGAUAGGGGAAAAAGUGGAUAAUCUUCUCAUUUACAUUGUGACUUUACCAUGAGAUUAUGGUGGGAUAUGCUUCGGUGAUUCAGAGUUUCUUGGGUUAUGCCAGAAUCUGUGGAAGAGUUAAUGUUUUGUUGGAGGAGUGGGAAUAGGAGGAGAAGACGUAACACAUGAAUUUGGUCCCUGCGUUGAUGUGGAUCAUUUGGAAUGAGAGAAAUAGGAGGGGUUUUGAGGGGGUAAAGUCGAGUUUUUCUCAAGCGAGGAAUAGCUUCUGGUCUCUUAUUUUCUUUUGGUGCACCCAUAAAAUCCUUGUUUUAUAGAAGAUGGGUGUGCUUUGUAAAGAAUCAGAUGUUGUAGAUUCUUUACCUUUUGGUUUCUUCCUUUGUAUAUGGCCAUUUCGGCCUUGUUUAUUAAUGAAAUACACAUAUCUUAUAGAAAAAAAAAUUGACUGCCACUGCCUAUCAUAAGGUGAUCCUGUAUAUGACUAGCAAUACAGUAUCAUCACAAUUAGCAACAGAGAUCUUAGAUUUGAGUCUUACCUCUGCCCAUCAACAAAUAUUUUUGCAUGGUCAGCCAUAAAAGAAUUUGGCUCAUGUAAAAAAUUAGGCCUUCAUAUAGGGGAAUCGUAUAGGCUUAAAUAAAUAGAUAAAUGUGCGACCUCUUUAAUUACUGAAUCUUUUAGAUGAGAGAAUUUACACAAUACAACAUAAAUGUUUUGUAUGAUAAUAUUGAUAAUAUGCCUGGAAUAUGCUUUAUAAUCUUUCUUUUAGUUCUUUCCCUUGGAAUUCUUUUUUGUUCUUUGAAACUGGUAACGUUGUAUUUCUUAGCAUUAGGGGAUAUGCUGCCACCACCAAAAGUAUUACAAAGAAAAUAAGAGUAGAAAUACUUACAGAGCUCCUAUAAAGUCCACUAAUUGGAUCUCAUCAUCUAUAUCUUGUUCUUUACACCAAAAACCUAAGGAAGUGAUAACUUUCCAUUUAAUAUUUUCUAUAGUACAUUCUUUCCCUUCAAAGAUUCUCCGGUUUUCCCUUGGAAAGUAUUCGGAAAAGCAAAGAUCUUUGAAACCCUCUCUUUGUGUGAUUCUGCCUUGGUGACUCCCUUAACAGGGGAGCCUUAGAAAAAAGGGUAAAACUAGAUCUUUGUUAAUGGAUGUAUAUUUGUAUGAAAGCUGAACGAUCAUGCUGUGCACUGUGAAUGGCUGCUCAUGUUGGACAGUAAUCUAUGCCAUUGGAAGUCUUCCACUGUCUGCCGACUUGUGUUAGAGGUCCGCCUGCCGUGUAGUUGGUGUGGGCAGGUCCAAAAAGUUUCCAGAAUUCACUCAUGAACUUGUUAGUUCUAAUUUAAGCUACCUGAAACAUGAAUAGGGGAAUUUUACUUUACCUAUUUAAAUCAGGUAAUGAGCCAAAAAGGGGUUUCUGUCCAGUGUAAUGUAAGAGAUAUCUUAAAGAUGAAGGUCUUCACAGACUCUGGGUUAAUUUAGUUUACCUAGCCUUUGCUUUAGUUGACUGUGCAAGAUUUAUGCCAAUGACCACUUGUAUUAUUCAUAAUUUUCUUGUCUCUCUUUGAAUGCGUCAUGCAAUGAUCUUUUAUGGAGAUCCUCUGUAUUUGGAAAAGCUACCUGUUAAAAGAGAGUAAAGAAGAUCUUGGCAGUGGAUUUUGUGGACCUUAUGAAAGGAGAAAAUUAGUAGUUUCUUUGAGGGAUUUACUGUUUGAGUUUUGAUGUAACUUCAUGAAUAUUAAAUAUUCUGAGGUCCUUGUAGACAUAGCCACUCGUGCAUUCUGCAGCACUAGCUUAGUGCUCAUAUAUGACUAAAAUUUACUUACUCAAAAAGAAAGAAUUCCAUGGCUAUUUUUAUUUCAAAAAGGGAACGAAGGAUUUUUUUUCCUUUCAAAUUGUGCUUGAUUUCCUUUCGAACAUCUUUUUUUGUUUGCGUCAAAAUCACUUGAUUCCUGGAAGUCUGUGGGGGUAUGAUUGGGGCAAAGAAUUAAUUCAUGGAAUCCCAGCUCAAAAUCUGCCUUUGAUUUACUAAUUAGAAAAACAGAAGCUUGUUCUUUAACUUUUCAUCUCGACUUAUACAGAUGAGCAUCCUUGUUCUCCCAACAUCAUCUAUAACAAUUAAAAUAUCUUCUUCUGUCCAAAAGAAGAAGUGGAGUUCUCUUCCUAGAAAGUUUAGGAAACCUAUUGGACAUUUUAUCUUUCAAAGUAGCAAAUCAAAGUAAGUAUUAGGAAAACCUAAAAGAAUUUAAGUCCUCACUGAAGCAAUUGUAAUGCGGGACCAUAUGGAAGUUGUACUUUUUCUUUAAUUAUGUACUUGGGAUCUUUCCAUUGUUGCAUGAAUGUGUUUGCUUGGCCUCUAUUCAAUUGAUGAACUCAGCAUCCAUGCGUUUUGUGGUGAUCUAUGGCACAUUUAAUUGGUUCUAAGCUUGGUCUUUUUGGACUAUUGGGACUUAAUAUUCUAAGCUGUGGGUUUCUCUACCAGUUUCUAUGUUUUCUUCAAAAGUUCUGCAUCUCAGGUCCGACACUCUUUUUAGAUCUAUCAAAUGUUGUUUUGGAAUUUCUUAAUUCUGUCUCUGUUUUUCCCUCAUGUUAUAGGCUGUUAAAAUUUGCUUGGAAAAUGUGGCCGAUGACAAAGAUGAAAAUGAGAUUCUAAAGAAAAGUUUUCUACAAUAUAGAUACUUUUUGGAGGAGGCAUUGUCAAUUCUCCAGGAAUCAAUGCGACAAGGUACCUGAGUUUGUUUUAUCUAUUGCUUAUGCAGAUUUGUGGCCAUUGCUGACCUUUGUGUUGUUAUAUUUAUCACUUUUAUUUCGAUGUUACUUUUUUGGGUUCCUUCGCUUUAAACAUGCAUAUUUGAUCAUCCUGCUAAUGGAUCUUGAGUUAACAUUCUUUUUGGUGUAAGGUUUGUAGGAGUGAAGGGUUGCCAUAUGCCACGUCAAGAAUCUAUAGGCGGGUAUAGAGGUCGGGGAUUAGGGUAGAAAGUUAGUAGGUAGUCGAGAUUGAGUCGUUAGAAUCUAUAGGCGGGUAUGGAGGUCGGGGAUUAGGGUAGAAAGUUAGUAGGUAGUCGAGAUUGAGUCGUUCUCCUUACCAAUUGUAUUAUUACUAUUGUUCUAUUAUCUCUGCGAUUUUGUUACCACUUGUUGUUUCCUUUUGCUUCGAUUAUUGUAUUAUUUGCUGUUGUCAUUGUUCUUUUUCUCUAUUGUUGGACUUAUUUCAUAAACAAGUCACAACAGUAAGUAAUACUGAUGCUUUGGGGGUGUGUUUUAAGCCCUAAAAUGAGUCUCAAACGUGUUGAGCGCUUUGCCUUGCUUGAUGUGUGCCAAUGAGCCUCUUCUGAAGAUGCGACGCUAAACAAUUGAUAUUUCACUUUAUCGUAAUUUUUUCAAUUUCGUUGUUCAUAUAUUUGUAAUUCAUGCUUAUAAUUAUUAAUCUUAUACUAGACAUAUAUAUAUAUAUAUAUAUAUAUAUAUAUAUAUUCUCGCUUUGCUUCAUUAAAGCCCACUCUUUAUUUGCAUAUUGCGCUUAAAGCCCCAAAGGACCUUAUAGCUUCUUUUGCUUUUCACUUUUGACUGGUCGGUGAGAUACGGGGUGUAAUGAUAUGUUCUAGGUCAAGUCUUAUUAUGAGAAACAUCUAGUUAGAGGGGAAGAUUUUUCCUUUUAACACUUUUUGGAUACCAAAGGUACCGAGGAAGGUGUGUCUUUUCACUUGGCUAGCUACUAGAGGGGUGAUCUUGAUGGUAAACAAUAUUAGAAAGCGAAAGGUUGUUUGCAUGAGCUGGUGUUAUAUGUGCUAGGAAGCGGGCGAGGACGUUGAUCGUCUUCUUCUUUAUUGUGAUUUUACCAUGAGGUUAUGGUGGGAUAUGUUUAGGUGGUUUCGUACUUCAUGGGCAAUGCCAAGAACUAUGAAAGAAUUGAUGUUUAUUUAGAAGAGCGGGAGGAGGAGAAAACGGAAUGUGGUUUCAUUCAUGUUGAUGUAGGUGGUAUGGAGAGAGAAAUUGAUAAGAAUCGGGUUGCGUUAAUUAACAAGAAAAUAAUGCGAAAGCAAAAAUACUAAGAUUAAAGGCAAGAAAUUAAAGAUAGGCAAAAUUUGAGAAUAAAUCCCUAAUUUCGAGAUGAAGUGCUAAGAACCCUAAUUGAUCUUAAUAUUCAAAAUUAGUGGAUUAAGAUUAAUUAUGAUACCAAUAGAGUCAAUUCAAGAACUUAGAUCACCAGAUCCAAAGGUGAUCUAGACCCCUAUUUUGAAGAAAUUAAAGACAACAAUUAGUAUAAGACUAAUCACCUUCUUUAAUUAACUUUAAUAGAAACCAAAGAUAUCAAAUUAAGAAUUAUUCUUACCUCCUAAAGAAUCGUUCUUAUAGGGUUGCAAAAUAAAUGCCAAGUAGCCACACACAAAGGUGUAAAUAAGAGAAACUCUUAAUUAAUAAUAAUAUUGUCUCAUUGAAAAUAAUAAAAUCCAUUCCUAUAUAUAGGAAAAAAAAAACCUAUCCCAAAUAGCGUGGGAUUGGGAUCUACCUUUAUCAAAUCUAACAAGGACUAGGAAAAAGCUAUCCCAAAUAACAGGGGAUUCGAAUUCUACUUUUAUGGAAAUAAAUAAAUCUAGGAAACUUUAAACUAGGGAACUUUUAAACUAGGAAACUUUAAACCAGGAAAGCAAAAGUUUCUGAUUUUAAUCAAAACCCUAUGGGCCCAAUCUUCUACAUUUAGACUUGAAAUUGAAUCAUGAAAUAUGUGUAUCACUUAGCCCAUGCUUCUCCAUAAUUCUUGGACUCAUUCUUGGGCUCCUUUUCCAUCAUAAGCAUCUUCUUGAUUCACAUUGAAGCCCGUCAAUCUUAACGCAAGUGGGCCAGACUAGAUGCUAUCAUUCCCCUCUUCUUGAAAACAAUUCGUCCUCGAAUUUGAAUCUCGCAUAAUCAAGAGACAUACAAUAGUAAACAACAUCCAUUACUUGAAAACAACAAUGGUAGGAACAAAACAAGAUAGUGACCAUGCAUCCACUUAACCCAGUUAAUCCCUGCAUGUAUAAAUACAUCUUUAUAAAGCAUGUGGACAUCAUCAUCCUAAUAGAAAGUUAUCUUCCUUGUAUGAGCACAACAAUAUUCAUGUUUAGAUGACGUAGGGAAUGAUAUGUGUCUCUCCAAUUUAGCUCUAUCAAUAAAGUACUCCACUGGGCUUGUCAAAGAUGUCAUAAGCUCCAUAAAAUGUGUAUCAAAUUUAACACUUAAAGUUCACCUAUACGCUACACCUGGACUGACCGGCAGCUUCCGACACCGGCAACGGCGUCGAUUGAGCCGGAAAAGGUAAGGUCGAACCUCUUUCCCACCCCAGAUCUCCCUCUCCCCCAGUUUCCUCUAUAUAUUUUGCCCCCCUCAACUUUCGGCAAUAGGGAAGGGUUUCAUCUACGGCAAAAAAGGUAGGUCAAACAGGUGGUUCGAGGUCAGUAGACGUCUAGAUCCCGGCAAGACUCGAAAACCUCUCCGGCGUUACUCCGGCAAACUCCAGAGAUUUACCAGCAAUUUUUUUACCAGCUACCUUAUUUCGGCAACAAACUUUUGACACCAAAUCGACAAAACCAGCAGCUAGCAGGCGUACCGGUGACAUCUAAACUUUUAUUCAUUUAGCCACUUCAUACAGUUUUUGAUUCUUUUAUAUUAUUUUGUUUUUGUUUCUGUUUCUAUUUCCCUUUUUCUUCGUCGUUUCCUGUUGCUUGUGUGUGUAGUGGUGUCUGGCUGCUUUGUUUGGAGAGUGUUGUUGAGUUGUGUUCUGGAUUAUUUCAUCGCUCGUCUUAGUUAUAAUUUGUGGGAUAGACGUUUUCCUUGUUUACUCCUUCUACUUUGCUUGUACCUUCUAUUUCCUACUGUUGCUUUAUUACUAUCGUUGUUUGUUUUCUUGUGGAGUUGUGGCUGUGGCUUUAAUGGUAGGAUAGAGUCAUGUCCGAGGGAGUUAGAGAGGGGGGCUGUUUUGGAGGUGGGGGAGGAGGAAAGGGCGGGUGGGGGAGUGGGGGCAAGGUCUGGCGUUAGGGGUGGUAGAAGAAGCCAUAUUGCUAGAGUCAAUAGGCUGAGGGUUGGGUCUUGGAAUAUAGGGACUCUUCAGGGUAAGUCUAUUGAGCUGGUGAAGAUUCUUAGAAAGAGGAGGAUCAAUAUUACGUGUAUGCAGGAGACUAAGUGGGUAGGGUCUAAGACUAGGGAUGUAAAUGGGUACAAGUUAUGGUACUCUGGUAGCGAGAGGCGUAGGAAUGGAGUUGGCACUUAGUGGAUGAAGAGCUUAGAGGGCAGGUAGUGGAGGUUAGGAGGAUCAACGAUAGGUUGAUGACUGUUAAGUUGGUCAUUAGGGGGUUUACCCUGAACAUGUGUAGUGUUUAUGCGCCACGGUGGGCUUGGGUGGGGAGGAGAAGAUGCAGUUAUAGGAGGCUUUGGAUGAAGUGGUGAGAGGAGUGCCAGGGGACUUAAAUGGGCACAUUAGGGCGUUUCCGGGAGGCUCUGGCAAUGUGAAUGGUGGUUUUGGUUUUGGUUUUGGGGAGAGGAAUGAAGAGGGAGCUGCUCUGUUGGAUUUUGCGAGGUCCUUUGUGUUGGUUGUGGUGAAUUCAAGCUUCCCAAAGAAGGACGAUCACCUGAUCACCUUCCGAAGCGUGAUAGCCAAGACCCAAAUUGACUUUUUGCUGCUUAGGAAAGGGGAUAGGGUGUAGUGUAAGGACUGUAAAGUCAUUCCGAGUGAGAAUCUUUCGACUCAACAUAGGCUUUUGGUAACUUGGGUAUUAAGAAAGAUAAGAAGAGAAGGCGUGAGGAGGGUAGACCUAGAAUUAAGUAGGACAGCUUAACGCCGGCGACUGCACGGGAGAUGGAGGAGAAGGUGAGGGGAAUGAGGGUGUGGGAGUGUAAGGGCGGCGUGGAUAAUAUAUGGGAUAGGGUGACUGGGUGCAUCAAGGAGAGUGCUAGUGAGGUGUUGGGUAUUUCUAGAGGUCGGGCUGGUCACCUUCAGAGGGAUUGGUGGUGGAAUGAAGAAGUUAAGAAGAAAGUGGAGAUGAAGAAGGGGGCAUAUACAAAGUUAAUAAUAGGGAAGAGUACAAGAUAUCUAGGAAGGAGGCUAAGGUAGGUAGCAGUUACGGAGGCUAAGACGGCAGCGUUCGAGAGCUUGUAUGCAGGGUUGGAGGCGAAAGGAGGGGAAAAGAGGUUGUUUAGGCUUGCUAAGGCUAGGAAGAAGAAGGGUCGUGACCUCGAUCAGGUGAAGUGCAUUAAGGGGAAGGAUGGUAGAGUGUUGGUGGAGGACGGUUACAUUAAGAAGAGAUGGCAGACGUGCUUUGAUAGGUUAUUGAAUGAUGAAGGGGAUAGAGCUCCUGUGUUAGGGGAGCUGGAGCACUCUGAGGAGUGUCGUGAUUUAGUUAUUAUAGACACUUUAAGGUAAAGGAGGUUAGAGAGGCUGUUCGCAGGAAGCGUAGGGGUAGGGCGACGGUUCCUGAUGAGAUUCUUGUGGAUUUUUGAAAGUUUUUUAGCGAGACUGGCUUGAGAUGGUUGACUGGUCUAUUUAACGGUAUUUUCAAGUUCGCGAAAAUGCCCGAGGCAUGGAGAUGGAGUACUAUGAUCCCUCUAUAUAAGAACAAGGGUGACAUUCAGAGUUGCAACAACUAUAGGGGUAUUAAGUUAUUGAGCCACACUAUGAAGAUUUGGGAGAAAAUGGUCAAGUUUAGGUUGAGGAGGUUAGUGACCAUCUCGGAGAACUAGUUUGGAUUUAUGCCUGGGCGCUCGACGACGGAGGCAAUUCAUCUGGUGCGGAGACUGGUGGAACAGUAUAGGGAAAGGAAGAAGGACCUGCACAUGGUGUUUAUCGACUUGGAGAAGGCGUACGACAAAGUCCCUAGGGAGGUUCUUUGAAGAUGCUUGGAGUUGAGUGGGGUCCCGGUGGUGUAGAUCAGAGCAAUCAAGGACGUGUAAUGGAGCUACGACUCAGGUUAGGACGGCGUAAGGAGAUUCAGAGCAUUCCUCUGUCUUGACAGGGUUGCAUCAGGGAUCUACUCUUAGCCUAUUUUUGUUUGCUUUGGUGAUGGAUGUGUUGACGCGGCGUAUUCAAGGAGAGGUGCCUUGGUGUAUCCUUUUUGUAGAUGAUGUAGUUUUGAUUGAUGAGACGCGGAGGUGUGUGAAUGAUAAACUAGAGGUGUGGAGAUAGACCCUUGAGUCUAAAGGGUUCAGGCUGAGUAGGAGCAAGACAGAGUAUUUGGAAUGCAAGUUUAAUGACAUGAGGCAGGAAAACGAAGUGGUAGUAAGGUUGGAUUCCCAGGAGGUGUGUAAAAGGGAUAGUUUCAAGUAUCUCGGGUCCUUGAUUCAGGGGAAUGGUGAGAUUGACGAGGAUGUCUCCCACCGUAUUGGAGCGGAAUGGAUGAAGUGGAAGCUUGCUUCGGGGGUGUUGUGUGAUAAAAAGGUGCUGCCCAAGCUUAAAGGCAAGUCUAUAAGGUGGCAGUCCGUCCGGCCAUGCUUUAUGGAGCGGAGUGUUGGCCAGUUAAAAACUCUCACAUUCAAAAAUUAAAGGUGGCGGAAAUGCGGAUGUUGCGUUGUAUGUGUGGGCUUACUAGGGGUGAUAGAGUUUGGAAUGAGACCAUUCGGGAAAAAGUUGCAGUGGCUUCGGUGGAGGACAAGAUGCAGGAAGUUUGAUUGAGAUGGUUCGGGCAGGUGAUGAGAGGUAAUUAGCCGGGACAUGGGGCAGUUGCAGCUCACUGAGGACAUGACCCUAGAUAGGAAGAUCUGGAGGACGCGAAUUAGGUUAGAAGGCUAGUGCCAGUUUGGGUCGUUGGGCAGGGCUUUACUUGAUGUGUAUUAUUCUUGUUAUGCCACCUUAUUGCAUGCUUUAUUACAAAUUUUUUUACUAUUAUUUGUUUAUUAUUCAUUUUGGGCGGCGUAUUUAUGUCUUCUUAUCUUGUUCCAUGCUUUAUUACGGAUUUGGUUAUUAUCUCGAGUCUUGGGCCGGGGUCCUAUCGAAAACAACCUUGCUACUUCUUCGGAGGUAGUGGUAUGAACUACGUACAUCUUACCCUCCCAGACCCCACUAUGUGGGAAUACACUGGGUUGUUGUUGUUGUUGUAUGAUAUAGCCAAGCAUCAUCAAUUACACUUGAAGAUUUUUCCAUAUAACAUUUAUUCACAUAAGCAUAGGAGAUUUCAAGAAGGUUAGAAGAAUCCUUCAAUCUCAAAAUACAAUCUCCAUUAAAUUCUAAGUAGCUGCUCAAAUUCACCAACAAGAAAUCAUGAAUAGGGUCAACAAUGGACAUUUGAUCAUUUGUAUCAUAAUAGUCACGAAUUUCCUCAUCACUAGUAGCAAACAUUGUUUUUUCCUUACAAUCACCAAGACUUGAGGAGUCAUACCUUAAUUUGGUCUUAUGUAGCAAAGGAAUAAUAUUACCUCGUUUUUCCUUGCUCAUUAGCGUUAGAUCUACAUCUGUCUUGUUGGACUUCUUGUCAUAAGUCUCAUCAUGGACAAGUCCAAAAUAAUUCUCUUUACCUAUAUCCUUCUUAUGAACAAACACUUGCUCAAUGGGACAUGUNNNNNNNNNNNNNNNNNNNNNNNNNNNNNNNNNNNNNNNNNNNNNNNNNNNNNNNNNNNNNNNNNNNNNNNNNNNNNNNNNNNNNNNNNNNNNNNNNNNNNNNNNNNNNNNNNNNNNNNNNNNNNNNNNNNNNNNNNNNNNNNNNNNNNNNNNNNNNNNNNNNNNNNNNNNNNNNNNNNNNNNNNNNNNNNNNNNNNNNNNNNNNNNNNNNNNNNNNNNNNNNNNNNNNNNNNNNNNNNNNNNNNNNNNNNNNNNNNNNNNNNNNNNNNNNNNNNNNNNNNNNNNNNNNNNNNNNNNNNNNNNNNNNNNNNNNNNNNNNNNNNNNNNNNNNNNNNNNNNNNNNNNNNNNNNNNNNNNNNNNNNNNNNNNNNNNNNNNNNNNNNNNNNNNNNNNNNNNNNNNNNNNNNNNNNNNNNNNNNNNNNNNNNNNNNNNNNNNNNNNNNNNNNNNNNNNNNNNNNNNNNNNNNNNNNNNNNNNNCCAAGCUUGAUAUGACAAUCUUGCAUUGGAAUUACAUCACAAAGAACAUUAUCAGAGUACCUUGCAAUGGAGAAAGAAAUCAUGCAUUGCUUAGUCACCUUAAGUUUACCGAAAUCAUUGUGUUUGAUGCAUAUAAGUUUCAACUUCUCCACCACGUAUAAACUUAUCACAUUAGCAUCACUUUCAAAAUCAAUAAUUAUAGAGCAAAUUUUAUCCUUUAUCCCAUACCUUGUUUGAAAAACAUUUCUCCUUAAAUCAGUUAUAUUCACUGAUUAAGUAGGUUUUAGGUGACCUCUAAUGCAUCGAGUCGAGCAAAAAUCCUUCUAAGUGCCUCGGCUAUGUCAUUGUUUUGAGUCCCAGCAUCAGUAUCCUUUACGGUUUGAGACAUCUCCAAAGUUUAAAGAAAACAAAAACUCUCAAUUUGGCCCUUUUUUUUUUAUCUCAUCCCUCUUGCCUUUUCCCAUUCAAAUUACAACCUUUGACUGAUUCCUUUAGGAUUUAUAUAUUAACCCUACUAGUAACAAUCCCUUUAGAAAUAAGAUGUAGAGAUUAAAAAAAAAUUACCAACUCCCAGACGGAUUGGGUUUGAUGAGACAAGAAAAAGACCAAUUUAAAAAAAUCUAAAUUUUUUCCUCUUCUUGGUUUUUCUCCUUGAUGUUGGAAAACAAGAAACAUAAUAAAUUUGAAAUUUCUUGAUCUAAAGCAACCUUUUUUUUUUAACUAGGAAACUCCCAAGAAUUAUCAAAAACGGAACCUUGAUAGACCCGCUCUGAUACCACUUGAGUCGGGUUACGUUAAUAAACAAGAAAAUAAUGCGGAAGCGAAAAUACUAAGAUUAAAGGCAAGAAAUUAAAGAUAGGCAAAAUUUGAGAAUAAAUCCCCAAUUUCGAGAUGAAGUGCUAAGAACCCUAAUUGAUCUUAGUAUUCAAAAUUAGUGGAUUAAGAUUAAUUAUGAUACCAAUAGAGUCGAUUCAAGAACUUAGAUCCAAAGGUGUUCUAGACCCCUAUUUUGGAAGAAAUUAAAGACAACAAUUAGUAUAAGGCUAAUCACCUUCUUUAAUUAGCUUUAAUAGAAAUCAAAUAUAUCAAAUUAAGAAUUAAUCUUACCUCCUAAAGAAUUGUUCUUGUAGGGUUGCAAGAUAAAUCCCAAGUAGCCACACACAAAGGUGUAAAUUAGAGAAACUCUCAAUUAAUAAUAAUAUUGUCUCAUUGAAAAUAACAAAAUCCAUCUCUAUAUAUAGAAAAAAAAAAAAACCUAUCCCAAAUAGCAUGGGAUUGAGAUCUACCUUUAUCAAAUCUAACAAGGACUAGGAAAAGCUAUCCCAAAUAACAGGGGAUUCGAAUUUUACUUUUAUGGAAAUAAAUAAAUCUAGGAAACUUUAAACUAGGAAAGCAAAAGUUUCUGAUUUUAAUCAAAACCCUAUGGGCCCAAUCUUCUGCAUUUAGACUUGAAAUUGAAUCAUGAAAUAUGUGUAUCACUUAGCCCAUGCUUCUCCAUAAUUCUUGGACUCAUUCUUGGGCUCCUUUUCCAUCAUAAUCAUCUUCUUGAUUUACAUUGAAGCCCGUCAAUCUUAAUGCAAGUGGGUUAGCCUGGAUGCUAUCAGAAAUAAGGGAGUUUUUUUUUGAGAAAUAGAAAUAAGAGAGCUUUUGAGGGGGUGGAGUCGAGGUUUUCUCAAUUGAGGAGUAACCUCUGGUCCCUUGUUUUCUUUUGGUGCUCCCACAGAAUUCCAAGUUGUAUAGGAGAUUGGUGGAGUUUGUAGAGAAUCAUUUACUAUUGUAAAUUUUUUACCUUUUGGUAUAACCCUUGUAUACGGCAGCUCAUUUCCGAUGUUUAUGUAUGAAAAUAUGUUUGCCUGAUCAAAAAUAAAAAUAAAAAUUGGACAUGGCUUUUACUUCUAUAUAUCCUUUUCAAACCUGCUUCAAAUUGUUUUACUUGAGCCGAGGGUCUUUCGGAAACAGCCUCCCUGCCUUCACAAGGUAGGGGUAAGGUCUCAUACACACAACAAUCCCCAUACUCCACUUGUGGGAUUACACUAGGUGUUGAUGCUGUACUGGGAGUAUUCAUUCUGCUCCUUGUUUCCUCAGUUUGGCUUUCUACUGUUACACAUUACAUUUUAGUAUCAGGAAUUCAUUAGGUUCUUCAAUUGACUGUAUCAUAAUUAUUCUCUUUUCUUUUCCGAAUGGACCAACUUUUUUUUUUUUUUUGAAACUGAUAACUUCGAAUGGACCACCUUUUAUGAGAUCAUUUCUUGCUCUCUCUAUUAUACUGUGCCAUGACUUACAUAUUUCUUUCUUUUUUACAUGAGAUCUUUUAUCCCUGUAUGCUACUUCUUUUCUCUGUACUGUGGACAUCAUUAGAUCAAGGUCAUUAAGUUUUCCAUAGAAGCUUCUCCUAUAUCAAAUAAUCCAUCAAACUAGGACAGCUAUAUAUGCUAUAUUCAUUCUUUUGAUAUCUAUUUUGUCCUUUUUUUUGCUGAAAAAAAGUAGUUAAAACUUGAAUACCUUCCUAUUUAAGUAUCAUUGUGUUACAAUUUAUUCCGAGCUAUGACAAAGUUGUAACUUGGUCAGUUUCCUGUGAUGUGUGAUCUUUGUUGAUUGGCUAUGCUUCUUUAUGGCGCAAUUAGUGUUAAUGUUGCUAGAAUGUCUUCCGUUCAGACUUUUUAGUUCUGGUCUGCUAUGCAGUAGAUAAUAAUUGAAUUUUCAUGCUGAAUUGACUUUUACCAUGUUAACACAGUAAAAGUUCCAACUUUUGAGUUCUUUGCAAGUGUUGAUUUAUACUCAUUUCGUCACUCUGUGAGUGUCCUUUAGAUGUUGGAUGUGACUCACCAGCAAUUCUGUCAAUGGGCCAUAUAUCUUCAAAACUGCAGGCGCUUCUUGAAAUUUUUAAAUCCCUUGGGUAAUGAACUCGACAUUUGAUUCUAUUACCAAACUUAUAACUGUUGUUAGAUGCAUCUUCUUCGUAUUCUCUUUGUACAAACUUAAGGCUCUGAUUCAUGGAUGCAGGGAAGCUACACAAGUGCGCUGUCUCAUUUUUGUUGAAAGAAUUAUAACAGCUAAAGUAAUUGAAAGAAUUAUGAAGAAAAUGACACGGUUUUCACAUUUCUCAAUAGCGUAUUUGACUGGAACAAACACAUCCGUUGACGCACUGACACCAAAAGUGCAAAAAGAAACCUUGAGAUCUUUUCUCUCCGGGAAGGUACUUACAUGUACAUCUCAUUAUAUUUGACAUAAAUACUUUCUUGUGAGUCCCUUAACUAGUUGGAGCUUAAUAUUAUAUUUUCCCCUAUUCUGUUAUGAUCACAGGUCAAUUUAUUAUUUGCCACUGAUGUGGUUGAGGAGGGAAUUGAUGUGCCACACUGUUCCUCUGUAAUACGAUUUGAUUUACCAAAGACAGUUCGUAGUUAUGUCCAAUCUAGGGGACGAGCUCGUCAGUCUGAGUCUCAGUAUAUACUAAUGCUUGAGAGGUGAUGCAAUUUGCAUAUCUUACUGAUUUUUGCUUUCAUGAGUCCAUUUAUUCAAGUAUCUAACCUUCAUAUUGAUUUCAGAGGAAACAAGAAGCAGAGGGAACAGAUGUUUGAUAUCAUUAGGAGUGAAUAUUCUAUGACAGAAACAGCUAUAAAGAGAGACCCUGAUGAUUGUGUGGUGAAACCUUGUCUAGUGAAGGAAACUAAUGCAUAUUUUGUGGAAGCAACUGGAGCAUCAGUAACUGCAGAUUCUAGUGUCAGUCUCUUGACGAAAUAUUGUGAAAUGCUUCCUGGAGAUAAGUAUGGAUUCUCAUAUCUUAAACUUAAAUUAUGUGUUCAUUAAUGCAUCUUUUUUAUGUGGCACCAAUUAAGUUAUGGUUAACACUGGAUUCUAGGAUCCCUAUUAGAUUAUAACGAGCUUUGUUCUGUUACCUUCCCAGAGCUGUUUGGAAACGAACUAAUCGUUUUGGAAGGAUAUAGAAAUUAAUCCUGGAACAGAUGGGAUUGUUUUAUACUUGAGUGCAAGCAGGAUCUAGACUAAAACACUAUUAUCAUCAAUCACUGUCAACCUUCAAUUUCCUCAUUCAAUCUUUGCUUCAAAAUUUUGUAUUAGCUAUUGGCUUCCAAUAUCUGGCUCAGUGCUUUCUGCCUCGCACGUGAACCCUAAGCUCAGUAAGUUAUGCAUAGGACUGUCAUAUACAAAGUCCUAUCAACUUAGCUAGUGAAGUGAGGUUUGUAUAUGGGUCUUAAGUUGGAUAUAGUCUAGUUACGAGCCUGUUUGGCCAAACGACUAAAAACUGCUUAUUUUGGGAAGAACUUUUAUUAAAAUAGCUUUUUAGAUUAGUAUUCUUGAAAAAAAAAAGAGUUUGUGUUUGUCUCAUUAAUUUGGAAAGUGCUUUUGAUAAGGAGAUUGUGUUUGACUAGUCUUUUUAAAAAGUGUUUUUGAUUUUCACAUUACAAAAAAGGACAAGCAUAAUACACGUUUCCUAUUAAGAUUAUUUUGUAUAGAGAAAUUAUUUUAAAUAGUUAUUAUGAAAGACUUUAACUAAGUUUUUACUUUUAUCUAAUUAAAAAUUAUAAGUACAUAUUAAAAUUUUCUGUCAAUAUAAUGCAUUGAUUAAUAUAAAUUUUAAAAUCAUUCCACAAAUUAAAUCACUAUAUAUGAGUAAUAGGGUUGCUUAAAGCACAAAAAAAAAAAAAAAAGCGUCCUCUUUUGGACAAGAAAUGAGUUAUAUCUACGGGAUAAAAUAUAUGAAAAUACAACUUGGUAACAAGAAUAUGAAGUAACUAUACUUUUACUUUUAUCAUUCAAAUAUAUCUCAUUAAAAGAAAAAGAAUUGUUACGCGUAGUAAUCAAACAGGUUGUUUUAUAACUAGAAAUUGAAAAAGGGACAAAUAUAUUUCCAAACUAUGAUAAAUGGUACAUAUAUACCCUCCGUCAUACAUUGGGUACACAUAUGUCCGUAUCGUUAAUGAAAUGGUAUGUAUAUGCCCCUCACAAUAACCGUAGGGACAUAUGUGUACCCAAAGUAUGAUAGAGGGUGUAUACGUACCAUUUAUCAUAAUUUUGGGGUAUAUUUGUCCAUUUUUCAUUAUAAUUUUUUUUAUCUCAAAUAAUUAACCCAAACCCACUACUGGACCCAAUAAAGCCAUCGAACUCGAUUUUAAACCAACUCGACCCGACCAUUAUUUUUUGUUCCAAAUCCGAUACUUCCUUUGUUUUUCUCUUAAACGUGAACCCAAUCAAAUUACAAUGAUUGGUCGUUGCUUCUAGUUGGUGUUUACUGGUUGGAGGGAGUGGAGAUUAAUUCGGAGGUAGCCGAAGCUAGUGGUGCAGUGAUGGUUUGCCAGUGGGGUGUUUUUGGUUCGACGGAGACGGUGACUAUAUGGUGUUGACCGGUGUUGGGUAGUGUUUUCCCCACAGAAUUUUGCUGGAAAUUGAAAUGUGAUGAGUUCAAUUUAUUUGGUAUUGUUUUUGAGUGUUAUGAGUUAAUAGUUUUUUUUUUAAAAUUGGUAGCAGUAGGUGUUACUGUAUUGUGUGUGUAUAUCGUUAUAGGGGUGGAAAAAACGCGUAUGCUAGAUAGAUGUCUCUUGGGUUUUAAUUGGGACCGGGUCCGCUAGUGGGUUUUUUCGGUUGGAUAGUGGGUUUGGGUUAAUUAUUUGGAAUAAAAAAAUUAAAUUGGAAAAGGGACAAAUAUACCCUCAAAAUAUGAUAAAUGGUGCGUAUAUACCCCCGUCAUACUUUUGGCACACAUAUGCCUCUACUGUUAGUGCGAGGGACCUACAUGUACCAAUUCAUUAACCAUAGGGGGCAUUAUGUGUACCCAAAGUAUGACAGAGGGUAUAUACAUACCCAUUUAUCAUAGUUCGGGUAUAUUUAUCCCUUUUUCUAUUAGAAAUUAAUGAAUUUAUGAGGGGUAUACUUGGUAAAUAUGUAUUUAUGAUAGGGAUAAUUUUGUCUUGUCAAAAAUAAUUUUAUGCUUCUUCUUUUAUCAAGAAGCGGAAGUUUUUGGCUUCUUUCCAACCACAGAAAAACUCCUUUUGCUUCUACGCAAAAGCCCUUCUACUUAUUGGCCUAACACCUCAAAUUCCCAAAGAAAUGCUUCUCUUCAAAUUGGUGCUACUGGUCUCCAAACCGAUGGCUAAACAGGCUCUACAUCUCAUAUUGGACCAUCAUCCUGCCAUGUUGUUGUUUUCAUUUGUUACAAAGCUUCCCGAACUCAAGGGGGGUCAUAUUAUAACUAAUUCGUCUAAUAGAAGAGGACAAAAGAUGAAUAAGAAAAAAGCUGGGGAAAAACACCGAGGAAAAAUAAUAUGGGAGAAUCGUAGUAGCUAAGUUGGUUUGCUAUCUGAACUUUCACCUUGUUGGUGAGGGUUCAAUUCCCCACCUUGUAAUCCCCUUCCCCUACCCUAACUUUAUGUUAUAAAGAAAGGAAUAAAAAAGAAAAAUAACAGCAAAUCAGUGGUGAUUACACAACGAAAAAUACAGCUUGUGUGCGAAAAACAAGUUUUCUGCUUAUCUACUUUACAACCAUUAGGCUUCGUUAAGAUGUGUAUUGCUAAUCUGAGAAAGGAAAAAAGAAUAGAGAAAGUAACUUAAAAGAAAACUAUAACAGUAAAUCAGUGUCUGUGUAAUAAUGAAAAAGAGAGUAUUGGGUUGUAGCUCCAGACUACUGUGUGCUAAUGUUGUACCGCUAAAGUUUAACUACAACAUUAAUUUUGAUCCUCUUAUUUGCUGUACUAAAUUAUCUAACAGAUUUCAUUGUCAUGUUCCUACCAUCUAGUGGAGCCCACAUUUCCUGAACUGGUCAAGGUGGAUCAUACACCUUUAGUCAUAUCCAUAUGCACAAUACAAUCAAAAGUCUAGUACAAAUUCACCAGCUUCCAGUGUCUGUCUCCUUCUCUCUGCUGUGCUGAAUUUUUUUCCCUUACCUCUUCAAAAUUCAAUUACUGGAUUCUCUGCAAAUAACUUUAUGGGUCUACAUUAUGUAGACACUAGUUCACCAAAAAGGUGUUAUAUUUUCAGACUGGGUGGCAUAGUUGCUCUCUGAAUUAAGCAUACUGCAAAAAUAUGUUUCAUAUUUCACUAAAUAUGUUUCAUAUAUAAAAUGUAAGGGCAGUAGGAAUAGUUGAAGUCCUAUACCCAAACUCUCCUAGACACUCUCUCUCCUACUGUCUAGGGAGGUAGACUCGCCCGAUCCGGUCGGCACCGGAAACUUUCUCUUCUUCUUCCCCAGUUAUUACCUCAUGUGAUAACUACCAAACCAUACCAUUUUCUUUAUCUACAACCUCAGAUAUGGAUAACGACACAACUUUCUUUGCAAUGGGCUUCAAAUCGUACGACAUCUUGAGGAGUCUCUCCCGAAUGGAAACAUGGUAUGACUGGACAGAGUGUGGAAGAAACAUGAUGAGCAGAUCCAGUUUCAGUCAGAAAACGAUGGAGUGGAUCUGCACUUUUCUCAAAGAAGCCUCAAAGGAAAAGGGAAAUGUUGUUCGCGGAUGGAGAAGAAGAACUUUCAUCGCAAUUUUUCUUUGCUAAAAAACUUUAAUGAUAAAGGGAGAUACAUCAGUACUAUAAGCUUAAAGGGGAAAAACAGAGCAGUACUUAUUAUUCCGGAAAUAGCAUUCAAUGCUGGUUGGUGGGAUUUGGCCAUUAAAAUCAAGAGAUUCAUUCAUUACAAAGACACAAAGAAAACAAACUGUAGAUCUCAGAUUGACAGAUGAAGAGAUCCCUUAUGCUGAAACUGUGGGAAGAAGAAAAUGGAUCUCCGGAGAAAUAUGCUGUGAAACUGUCGGAAGAAGUAAAUGGAUCUCCAGAGAAAUUGAUGCAGCUGUCAUUAAUCAUUAAGGAAAGGGGAAACAUCAUCCACAUUGAAGGAGGCAUCAACCCAUCGCAAACUAUUCUAUUGCAAAUCUAUGGUCACUUCAACUUCACUGGUUCUGACGUUCCGACUCUAUGGAGGAUACGCAGGUGGGCAAGCACAAAUUGGAACCAGAACCAUGGGCUAAACAUCUACAAAAUGGGUAAUAAUAGCUUCCUUUUUCGAGUUCUCUUCUAUACAUGCGGCAGAACAUAUCCUGAAGGGUAGUUAGGCAUGGAAGAAACAGAGAUUAAACUUACAAUGGUGGACUCCCAAUGUUGAUGCAAUCCAAGACAGGACAGUGUUAAACAAUUGUGGAUCAGGCUGGUUGAAUUACCCCUAAAUGUAUGGUUUCACAAUGCCUUAUGGUAGUCCGGGAUUUCUGCGGAGGUUGGAUAAGGAAGGAGGAGGAGACAGAACUGCGGAAUCAUUUAGAGUGGGCAAGAGUCUUGGUAAAGGGGGGAGAAAGCCGUAUCCCAAAGGAAGUGAAGAUUGAAUGUGAAGGAGUUGGAUAUGUGAUCCAAAUCUGGGACGAGACGCUGACGAGAUUCCAUGCCAGAGAAGACAAAGUUGAGGUCGCAACUGGAGAAUGUCAAAAAACUUCAACCCAGACGUUUAUUUGGUGUCCUCUACACCUGUCAGUACAGUGGGGCACGUGGGCUGCUCAAAGUUUUAUGAAAUCCCUUUAUUGACACAUGACCCUCCAGUCCACUAAAGGGAACAGGUACAGGAAAAAGGAGCUUGGGCUUUGACCCUUUGACCGAAUCUUUUAAUGAAGUCCCUCUUUUAUUAUCUUCAAAGCCCAACGAUCCAUUUAGAGCUGAAAUUGAAGCGAUCUUUAACAAGAACCUGGUGAAUGAAACACAAGACUCUCUACCAGGAAAAUAUGAAGGUGCAUGCAUGAAUGUCGAAAUGGAAGUAGUACAACCAGAAGAUGAUGCCAUGUCAAUUAUUCAUAUUGAAGAUGAACUAACAAAGGAAGAGCUCGCAGGGGAUUGUUUACAAUUGGAAGGAAAAUAUUUUACCUCUCAAUUUUACGGAAGAAGAAAACCCCAUAGAAUCGGCCAGAGCAGUUCCUAUUUGGGCAAAUCAGAACAUCAUCAAACUGAAUAAAGAGUUUGGAGUACACUUCCAAGGGUGUGAAGAGGUGGCUCUAAACCUUUUCAUGAUAAUUGACGGGAAGAGACAAGCAACAAUGGAAGCCCCCGGGGCUUUAGUUCAAGUGACUCCCAAAAAGAAGAUUUCAAAGGAGUUAAAAAAAGAUGGAACCAACUAGUAACUUUUUCGAUUUUGGGAAAAAAAAGAGGGGGGGGGGGGGGGGGGGGGGUAAUAGGACCCCCGCAAAGUUCAGUAUGCUCAACUGGUAAUCCGGUCAAACUUCAGGUAUUUUUGUGAGUAUUCUCCCAUAUUUUUAUUUAGACCUUUGUAAUUGAAUUAUACAUGGUAGCAUUUUUUUUAUAAAUAUCUUUUUGUUCCUUGUGAAAUGACUAUCAAGGGUAUUUCGAUAAUUUUAUGGUGCAGUAAAUAUUUCGAAAUCGACGUAUGUCUCCUCAACUUAUAUAUUUGAAACUUUCAAAUGAGANNNNNNNNNNNNNNNNNNNNNNNNNNNNNNNNNNNNNNNNNNNNNNNNNNNNNNNNNNNNNNNNNNNNNNNNNNNNNNNNNNNNNNNNNNNNNNNNNNNNNNNNNNNNNNNNNNNNNNNNNNNNNNNNNNNNGGGGCGGAUUAACAUAAUUUCAUGGAACGUGAGGGGCCUCAAUGAUCCUGUGAAGAGGCUGCGAAUCAAGAAUAUGAUCCAUAAAUGGAGGGCCAAUGUCUAUUGUCUUCAAGAAUAAAAAAUAAGAGGGGAUAUGGGCAAACAGAAGGGUUAAAUAUGCGCAAUUAGAUGCAAGACGUACGUAAGGGGGAAAUAUUAUACUUUGGUCCAACAGCAUUCAGGAGAGUGAAGUAUGUGAGGUGGGGGCUUAUCAUAUUACCUGCAAAUUUACAGGCAUCACUCAGGAUUUCAAUUGACAUUUAUCCAGGUGUAUAUGCCCCAAACAACAGAGAAGAAAGGGAGGAAGAAUGGUGGGAACUGGCGGCAGUUAGGUGUCUAUUUAAUGGUCCUUGGGUGGUUACGGGGGAUUUUAAUGUUGUAAGAUAUCCAUCAGAGAAACAGAAUUGUAUCAGAUUCACAAAGGUCAUGGAAGAGAUUACUGAAUUUAUAAGGACAUGGAAUUAGAAGACCCACCCCUCAUGGGUGGCACUUUCACAUGGAGAAGAAGGGACAAACAUGAAGUAGCUGCAAGGCUUGAUAGAUUUCUAUAUCCAGAGGAGUGAGAAACAUCCUUCAGGAAUAUAAAGCAGUCUGUGAUGCCUAGGGUCACAUCAGAUCAUAGUCCUAUGUUGUUGGAAUGUGGAAAUUGGGACAGAACUCAAUCUUACUUUAAAUUUGAAAAUUGGUGGAUACAAACUGAAAAUUUCAAAGAUAAAGUGAAGAUGUGGUGGGAAUCUGAGAACUUUAUAGGAAGGCCCAGUUAUAUCCUGGCUUGUAAAUUGAAGCACCUAAAAGGGAAGCUAAAGGAUGGAGCAAGUCUGUACAGGGAAACUAGGGCUUAUAGAAGAAGAAUAUCCUUAAUCAGCUUUCUGAUUUGAAUAUGAUCUAGGAACACAGAAGCCUAUUAGAUGGCGAAUCCUACUUGAGAUCUGUACUUGCUGUGGAAUUUGAGGAGAUUGCUAAAAGCGAAGAAGUGGUGGAGGCAAAGGUCUAGGGCCUUAUGGUUGAAGGAAGGUGACAUGAGCACCAAGUUCUUUCAUAGAACUGUUAACUGUCACAAGAGAUACAGUACAUGUUUUUGAGAAGACAAGAGAUACAAUACAUUGAUAGUUUUUUUGAUCAAUGGUGUUGGUGUGAAGGAACCAGCAGUAAUCACAGAAGAAAUUACAAGCUAUUACCAAAUGCUCUACAAAGAGAGAGGAUUUGGAGGCCUCAAUUUAAUCCUAGAGAACAACUUAUUAUCAGUGAUGAAGAUAAUAUUACUCUCCAAAGUCAAUUUUAAGAACAGGAGAUAAAAGAGACUGUUUGUCGGUGCAGGAGAUACAGUGUUGGGAUGUAAUUACAGAAUUUUCAUGAUCAAGGCUAUUUUGAAAAAAGUUUCAAUGCAACUUUUAUAGCCUUGAUCCCAAAGAAGGUUGGUGCCUCAGAACUAAAGGAUUUCAGGCUUAUAAGUCUCAUGGGCAGCAUCUACAAAAUUAUCUCCAAGAUUUUGACAGAAAGACUCGAGAAAGUUAUGCAUAAACUGGUGGAUGCACAUCAAAUGACAUUUAUUUAAGGAAUACAAAUUAUGAAUGCCAUUAUGAUUGCGAAUGAGUGUGUGGAUGUCAGAAACAUAUCCAAAAUCCCAGGAAUUCUAUGCAAAUUAGACAUUGAAAAGGCUUAUGAUCACUUAAAUUGGGAUUUCCUUUGGAAAACCUUGGAGAACAUGGGAUUUGGCUCUGUUUGGAUAGGCUAGCUGAGAUUUAGUAUUUGUGCAGUGAAGUUUUCAGUGUUGAAAUGGCACCUCAAUUGGUUUCUUUCCAUUUGAGAGAGGUUUGAGGCAAGGGGAUCCUCUCUCCCCCUUUUGUUCAGCUUGGCAAUGGGUGGGCUCUGUGAUAUGCUAAAGACAGUCCAGUCAAACAAUUGUAUCAGGAGUUUUAAGCUAAAUGAAAAUGAUCCUCUGAGUUUAUCCAUCUCACACUUACAGUACUUGGAUGACACUUUGGUGUUUUGUGGUGCAGAUGAAGAUCAGCUGAAGUAUUUGAGGAUCAUUUUCAUCCGUUUUGAAGCUAUUUCAGGACUACAUAUUAACUGGGGAAAGAGGUUUGUUUACCCUGUAAAUGAAGUUACAAACACGAGAGGUCUGGUGGAUACCCUAGGUGGUAGUUUAGGUGAGCUACCUACUACGUAUCUAGGGAUGCCCUUGGGGGGAAAAGAGCAAGUCCAAAAAUAUUUGGAAUUCAGUGGCGGAGAAGUGCGAGAAGAAACUGUAUAACUGGAAGAGCCAAUAUCUUUCCCUGGGUGGUAGAGUGACCUCAUAAAUAGUGUCCUGGAUGCUUUACCUACUUACAUGAUGUCUCUCUUCUCCAUCCCCGGGAAUGUGAUCAAGAAACUUGACUCUAUUAGAUUAAAUUUCCUGUGUCAAGGUAAUGGAGAGGAAGAAAAGAAAUAUCAUCUAGUCAAAUGGGAUGAAGUCAUCACUAGCAAAAGAGUAGGGGGGCUGGCAUAAGGAAUAUAAAAGUUCAAAACCAGAGCCUACUUAUGAAAUGGUUGUGGGGAUUUGCAUCAGAUGAACAAGGUUUGUGGAGAGAAGCUAUAACUUCCAGAUAUGGCAUGGAAGAUCACCGGAGUACCAAGACAAAUAAUAAUCCCUUUGGGGUUGGUGUGUGGGGAUCCAUCAGAAACAAAUGGCCUAAAUUAUAGGGAAGUUCCAAGAUUGUUCUAGGAAAUGGAAGGAAAACCUCCUUUUGGCGCAUGAUGUGUGGGUGGGUCAACAGACUUUGAAGCAACAGUUUCUACUAUCUACAAUCUCAAUAACAGAAAUGGGCUACAAUUUUUGAUGAUAGUGAUAUACAUGGCUGGAAUCUCACCUUCAGAAGAUUGUUCAAUGACUGGGAAGUUGAUUUCUUGACAGAAUUCUACAAAAACAUUGUAACAAUUUAAGAAUCUAAAUGCUAAAGCAGAUAUUUUAUUGUGGAAAGAGAUGGAGAAAGGAACCUUCACUGUGAAGUCAUAUUAUAGACUUCUGGACAGUCCUACAGAUACUCAUGGGAGGUGGCCUUGGAAAAUGAUUUUGGAGAGUUAAAAUACCUUUCAAGGUGAAUUGUUUCAUUUGGUUUGUGUCUAGGCAAGCUGUUUUAACACAAGACAAACUUAAGAAAAGGGGGAGGCAUUUGUGCUCUACAUGUUUUAUUUAUUUAUUUAUUUAUUGUGAAUCUGAAACAGAGACAAGAAACCAUCUUUUUUACAUUGCAAGGUGACAACACAACUUUGGCAGAUUUUGCUAAAUCUUAGGGGUAUUAGUUGGACCAUGCCAAGGAACACUUCAGGUAUGUUAGCCUGUUGGAACAAUGAUGGGAAUAUGUCAGAACAUAAGGAGUGAUGGAAGAUUGUCCCUGCUUGCAUCUGGUGAAUGAUGUGGAAGGGAAGGAACCAGAGAUGUUUUGCAAACAAAAGCAUCCCUUCCAAAGUUUGAAGAUAAACUGCCUUCUGACUUUUUAUUUUUGGUGUAUAUAUACCCUACCGAAUGAGGUGGAGGAGAUUACGAACAUCUUAGAUAGUUGCAGAGGGCAUAGGUGAUAAGAACUUUUUGGCAUUCCCUCUAUAUUUCGUAAUUACUACUGAAACACACUAUGUGGUGAGUUUCUUAUCUAUAAAAAAAUGUUGACUUUCUCGAAAAGAAAUUAAAAUGUAAGGAAAGUAUCUUUAUCUGUUUGUUGCUAAACAUGAUAAUUGUUUUUCUCGACAGGUUCUUCUCUCCAAAGCCAAUGUUUGAGUACAUUUUGUCUGGAGAGUUCUAUCGGUGUAUUUUGACAUUACCUCCGAAUGCAGCUUUCCAAACAGUUGUUGGUCCAGAAGGCAGGAGUACUCAAUUAUCAAGACAGCUUGUCUGCUUGGAUGCUUGUAAGAAGCUGCACCAGUUAGGCGCUCUCAACGAUCAUCUUCUACCUUUCAAUGAAAAGCCUUCCCAAAGUGAUUCUGUUGUGCAGGACAAAAAAUCAGGGGCAGGUAAACUGGAACAAGCUUUUAACUUUUGACCUCUGUCUUCUCUGCUUUUGAGUUCAAUUGCACUGUGGCAGCACUUAACGGGACUAGGGGCUCUCUGUAAUGCACUUGACAUGGUGCUUUAAUGAAUUCUCCUUUAUCAAGUUGUUAAACAUAAGCUGACAAUUUUUUUUCUCUACGAAGUAAGGGUAAGGUCUGCGUACACUCUACCCUCCCUACACCCCAUUUAUGGGAGUACGCUGGGUAUGUUAUUGUUUAUUGAAAAGUGAGCGAACUUCCGCCAUUCUUAGGACAACAUUUCUAGCGACAACAACUCAUGGGUUCUUAAAGUAUUUGUAAAAAGGCGAGAUGUUUUAAUGAAUAACAGAAUACAAGAUACAUCUUUUAUAGGUGGGAAAAACAAUAGGCUGAUAUUGUCCAAUUGUGGGACAAAUAGGCUGAUAUUUAAGUGUUUGGCAAACUCAAAAAAGUUCUUUGAAUCCAAGUGCUUUUAAAUCGAAAUAAGCUAAACAAGCCAAAAGUCAUAAGUUGGUCUUAAAAGAACUAAGGGUUUAGCUUGUUAGUUUGCCUUUUUAUCCCCUAUAAUUUUUUCUAUAUCCCAAAUACCCUUCCCUAGUCCUGGACGCUCAACUGUUUUCUUUUUCUCAAUUCGUCCAACUCUCGUUGUUACUUACAUUUUUGUCACGUCCCAAAUCUGGCUCCUAGGCCAUGACAGGGUAACCAAUGAGUGACUACCCCACUACGCGAAACAUCUAUGCUAAAUCAUGCGGAUAAUGUGCAAAUAUAAGAGAGAACUACUAAAGUUGUCUUAUCAUAAAUAGAUGUGGAAGUAAAAUACGAGUAUAGGCCCACUAGUCUAAGUCAUGGAGCACUAGAAUCUAAGUUCAACUGGUUUGAGACACAGUAUAGAAGAAACGAAAUAGACUGAAAGUAAAUGAUAGGAUCUGAAGUUGUCUCCACGCUCUAUUGGUGGCUCACCUCACCUGGAUAGAACUGGCUUCAAGAUGGAGUCACUGAUCAACAAUGGGAUCUCCACCUACUACCGUGGGCACAUGCAGUAACUGUGAGUCUGAAAGACCCAUCAAGAUCAUCGACUUGCUCUCCUAGCCCCCCCUUUGGAUAAGUCUUUAGAAAUCACUGGUAAUACAUAAAUGUACAACAUGAACAAAAAAAAGGGCAGCCUGGUGCAUUAAGCUCCCGCUAUGCACAGGAUCUGGGGAAGGGCCGAUCACAAGGAACAUGAACAAAAAAAGUAUAGAUAAAUAGCAUAUAAGUAAAGCAAAUGAAUCUGAGAUCAAUAGGUAAAAGCAUGAUAACACUGAAAACUGAUACCUGCUCAGGAGAUGGAAUAUUUUUUGUCAUGUUUUACCCAGUCUUCAGGAGCGUUAGUCACAUGGCUACCCACCUAUAGCAGUCCAUGGACUACACAUCUUGCUCAAGUCUCUGUAAUACUAACAACUACUAUGGCUAUUGGCAUCAUCAUGCCCAGGCAGCGUGUGUGCUACUGACAUAUAGUGAUAAAGCAUGCUAAACAACUAAGAAAUUACCACAGAGUUACAAUAAAACUUCUGAGAGAUAAAUGACUUAUAAGGCAAGCUAAAAAAUUAAAUAAUGUCAUAACAAGAUAAUAGACUUAUGAAAAAAAAACGUUAAAGUAUGUUAAACAACUAAAGAAUAUCAUAUCAUAUCUUUGAAUCUGCUAGAAGUAUCAAAUUAUGUGAAAAUAUAUACUAGAACCCUCACGGUCAACUCUAGAUACUUUGAAACUCAGCAGCCUAAUUCAUGCUUGCCCACUCCCACGAACAAUAUGGUUUAAAUGCAUACAAACAACACACAUACCAUGCUCUGAAGGAAAAGCAAAAAUACUAACUAUUCAUUUGGUAGAGUGCAUUAAAAGAAUAAUGCAUGAAUUAGCUUUGCGUAUUAUUAAUGUCUUGUUUGGUACACUUUCUCAACUUAUGUAUGACUAAUGCUUGCAUUAGUUAUACUCUCUAUUUGGUAUUAAGUGUGUGUAACUAAUUCUUCAAAAUCCAUGCUAUUAGUAAUGCAAUGGAUUCUAAUGCAUGCAUUAGCAUGGUUAGAGACAUAGUUGCCCCUCAAAACCUUUUCAUAUCGUUUCUACUAUAUUUGUAGAGUGUAUUUUUGUAAACAAAUACUUUAUCAAAAAGAAAAUAUGCAAUGCAUAUUAUUUUUGAUACACCAAAUCAAACACCGCAUAAGAAAAAUCUCAGCAUAACUAAUGCAAGCAUAACAAAUACUAGCAUUACUUAUGCAAAUAUUACUAAUACAUCAUAUUUUGCACUAUUCGUAUUCACCCCUAAGUUGCUCGGACUCAGGUGCGGGUGUCGGACAUGGGUGCGGAUCCGAGUGUCGGAUCGUUCAUGAUUGAAUUUUUUAAGAUUCGGGGAUAUGGAUCUGGAUACGGAUACGGGUGCGGGGACUCGGCAAAAAAAAAAUUAAAAAUUUAUACAUAUAGUUACAAAAAUAAUUUUAUUUAAACACAAUUUAAUAUAAUUAUAGCUAUAAAAAAUAUUAGAUUAGAUGCAUCAAAAAUAAUAUUUGAAUCAAUGUAAUAAUAUUAUUUGUUAGUUAAUAUAGAAUUUAUAAUGUACUUUCUCUGUUCCUUUUUAGUUGAAAGAAAUAAUUAUUUAAGAGUGUGAUUUGAUUAAUAUACUUAUUAAUUCGUUAGUCUUUAUUUAUUUAAAUGCUUCUUAAAUCUAAAAAGAGUAAUACAAAGGUUCAAGUUAAAAAAAGAAUAAUUAAUGUUUUUUUGCUUUUUCAAAAUUGACAAGUAUUUUAAAACCAAAAAAGAAUGAGAAUAUUAAUAUGUUUAAUAUAUACUUACGCUUGGUGGUGGAUCUAGGAUUUAAGGAUUGUGGUUGUUUAAAAAAUUAAAAGACUAAAAAAUAAAAAUAAAAAACACCUUAACAAGGUUCGAACGCAGGACGCCUCUUCAAUGGAGAAGCUUAAAAUCAACCUAAAUGUCAGUGCAUCCAAUCAACUUUUUGUUUUAGUAGGUGCUUUUAUAUGUUUUAUACUUAUUUUCGUAUAUUUUCUAUAAAAUUAUAUCUAUUUCGCAUCGAAUUUAAUAGGUGCCGGAACAACCCGAAAAUAUAUGUAGGUCCGCUCCUGCUUACACUAAAUUUAGUUUCAUUUAAAAAUGUGUGCUUUUAAAGCAUAUACAUUAAUUUUUAUUUUAUAAUUAAAUAAUUAUAAUGUCUAUCCUCAUUUUAUAAACUCUAAUUAAUAUACAAUGCUUACCUCAUUUAACUAAAAAAAUAAAUAGAUUAUUUAUUCUUAAUAAUAAAUAAUCAAUGAGACAACUAUUAACUAAGCUCUAAUUAUAAUAUUAUAAUAUGGAAUGUUAAUCUCAUUUAAUCAAAAUAAUAAUAAUAUUUAUUCUUUAUAAUAAAUAAUCAACGUGGCAGCCUAUCUGAGUGUUUGGUUUUAAUAACUCACCAUAUUUUAUCCUUAUCUCUCAUUUAGAGGACCAAAGGUCAAUUAAAAAAAAAAAAAUAAGCGUUGAUAUAGGACUCUGAGUCGUCUUCUUCAUCUUUGUUCCUCUGCUUCGUCUUCUCUCCUCCAUCUUCUUCCCCAACUACAAGUUUUGCAUUUUUUUUCCCAAUACAAUACAAAUCACUAUGUGCACAAUUUAGUAGUCCACCACGGCACCGAUAUUCUCGGCUUCAAAAACCUGUUACAUCGUGAACAAUACCUGCAACAACCAACACGAACAAGAAGAUUUACCAAGAAAAAAGCUUCAAACGAUACAAAAGGAUUGGUAUAAAUUACUAUGUAACAGCAAAAUUGAAGGUAUUUUAUUUUCGAGCUAUUCAAAUCUUUACUUUGAGAUAUCAAAAUUUCAAUUUUUCUCCCAAUUGUUGGUCAACACACCCGAUCUCGUUUGACCGGAUCCGACACAGAUCCCACACCCUUACUCGUGUCAGUGUCGUGUCGACACGGGUGCGGCACCGAAAUUGCCGAGUCCGAGCAACUUAGAUUCACCCUACCAAACGACCCCUAAGAGUUAAAGUCUCACUUGCCUCUAAAAUGACAACCUUCACUUGAAAUGCUCAAACUGCUCCUAUUGAUCUUCAAAGUCCUCUAUCUAUUAGCAUUGAUCGACAAUGUUCUUGAUGCCACACGUACUUACAUGAUGUUCUUAUUUCCCAUUCCUAAGAGUGUUAUUGAGGGACUGGAUGUUUUGAGAAGGAACUUCCUUUGGCAGGGUAACAGUGACAGUAAGAAGUUCCAUCUGGUUAAACGGGAGGCACUUAUAGGGAGCAAAAAGGCAAGGGGAUUGGGAAUAAGGAAUUUGAAAGAACAUAAUCAAAGCCUUUUGCUGAAAGGGCUUGGAGAUUCGCUUCUAAUGAAAAAUCCUUGUUGAAAGAGGAUAUAAGUUUGAAAUAUGAAAGGGAAAGUAACUUGACUACUAAGCUUGUAACAAGUAUCUAUGGAACUACUCUAUGGAACUCUAUCAGGGAUCAAUGACCAAAACUAAAAGGAAAUUGCAGAUUAAAGGUUGGAAAUGGCAUGAAGACUUCCUUUGGGAAGACAAUUGGAAAGAACAAGGUACCUUGAAAUUUUUAAUCCCAGAUAUAUACAUCAAAAUGCUACAGUGGAAGAGGUAUGGUCCAAUCAGGGGUGAAAUUUGAGGUUGAGAAGACUUCUAAAUGACUUGGGAGAUUCAGAGGUUAGCUGAUUUCUACAAGACAUUAGAGCAAUUCAAAGGACCAUCUGAUGUUGAAGACUGCCUAAUCUGGCAAAAUCACAAUCAAGGCAAGUUUUCUGUUAAGGAGGCAUAUAGGCAUUUUAACAUUUCCAGAAACCCGACUGAUCACUGGCUCUGAAAGUCUCUUCUUUUGUGUGGCUGCUAGCUAAACAGGUAGUUCUAACUCAGGAGAAUCUCAUGAAAAAAGGUAUUCAUCUUUGUCCAAGAUGCUUCUUAUGUGGUGAAGAAGUAAAGACUGUUAGGCACCUCUUCAUAAACCCAGAUUACUUAUCAGUUAUGGAGUUUAUUCAUCAAUAUCUAAGGGUUAUCUUGGAUUACGCCUGGGAGCAUUGUACAAGUCCUGGAAAUGUGGAAUAGUUAUGGAAACCUUUCUGGUCACAAAAAGAGAUGGAGAAUUCUACCGGCUUGCAUCUGUUGGUCGGUAUGGAGAGUAAGGAACCCUAGACGUUUUGAUAAAUGUAACUCAAUUUAGAAGGUAAAGAUGAACUGCCUUGCUUUAUUCGUUUUUUGGUUUAAACAAGAGUAUACGGAGGAUCUAGAAUCUUUUUUGGAUGUCUUAGGUUCUAUGAAAAAAAGAUUUUAUUUUGGAUGUCUUAGGUUCUAUAUACCACUAUGUGGGGUAUACUGGGUAUGUUGUUGUUGUUAGGUUCUAUAUAAGCUCUUAUAUAGGAUUGAAGAUCUUCUUGACACUCCGUUAUAACUAUGGAAACCUGUAACUCAUUGUGGCAGGCCUUAUUUUUGGAUAUAUAUACUAGUGUUACCUUUAUAAAAAAAGUCUUAUUCCACUCACCAAAACCCUCAUAUUACUCUAUUUCCAAAUAACUCACAUGAUUGCCAAAGGGGACAUACUACAAUCCUUGACUUCAUCUCUCCCUUAUUUGAGUCUAGCUUUGCAACUCUUCCUUCACUAUUUCUAGUAUUACCCAUUGUUUCCCGUACAGAUUAAAGAUCACCAGCUAUAAUUGUUUAACCACUCAACAAUGUAAUAGAAGAUAGUCUACAUCUCCACCUGAGCUUUUGUACAUAAAACACCAAUUGACACAGGUGAUCCUCUUCCUCAAAUUUUUCGUUGUCAAGAUACAUAAUAGGAAAAAAAAAGUUCCUCUCACCAGUAAGCUCUUGUAAAAAGAACUAUCAGUAAAGAAGCCGUUUUUGCUCUCCGCCCACAUCCAUACAUCCCUAGUAUUGUCAGGUGUGUCCAGACCAUAUAAUGUCUCAAUCAACUUGUGAAAUUCUCCGAUCUCCCAAUUCUGCAAGUUUUGUAGGUUUCUUUUGAAUCUUAAGUCCCAUGAAUUACCCCCUCAUGUGACGUACAAAUUUGUUGGACUAAAUCUAUCUUUAGCAAGACACAACAUAAAUGUUUGCGCAGGCUUCCUUCAACUCGUUCUCUCCGCAACUUAUGCGCCCAAAAACUAAUUUUGCUUCCAUAGCUAACCUUACAAGAUAUGUGUCCGUUUAAGUCAUCCCACCCUUUCAUAGUACUCCUCUAUACGUCACACCCAAAUAGAGUUGUGAUGUUUCAGGUUCUUCAUCCACCUUCCAUAACCCCACAUUUCUCCGAUAUCACCCUACUCGAAAAAACAUUCUUCUCCACUCAAAUCUCCCUAUCACGUCCCUAGCCAAGAUUUAUUAAGCACCUUAAUAUCUUUCACUCCGAACCCCAAGCCCCCUUCCUUUCUUGCACCAUCCGUUGUGUCCCAUAAAAAGUUUCUUUAGAGUCUUUUCAACCCUUCAGCCAUUUUUUUAGGAACUUUCAAAAGUGACAUGAAAUAUGUAGGUAUACUAGAAAGUGUGCUUUUGAUCACUACUUCCUUCCCCCAUUUCGACAAGUACCUCUUUGGCCAUCCGGCUAACUGCUUCUUUACUCUCUCAAUCACUGGAUUCCACAUUGCAAGAUCUUUGUUUGAAGCACCUUACAGUAAUUUCAAAUAGAUAGAUAGUCCGCAAAGUACCCACCUUACAAUCCUAUGCAAUCUCUUCAAUAUAUCCACUUCUUCCAUUAAUGUGAUCUCACAUUUUCUGUGAGUAAUCUUAAGGCCUGACACAAUCUAGAAUUAGAUAAGAAUCUGUCUUAAAUGAUCUAGCCAAGUCAUCUCUGCAUCACAAAAGACCAAGGUCUCAUUUGGAAAUAAAAAACGCGUGACUGUCACAUCACAAUGCCCCCUAAACUAAGCAUCAAACCCUUCAAUAGACUUGUAUGUACUGCCUUCAAUGGAUCUCCCAGAUUCUCAAAGAAGCUUCCCAGGACAGAUGGAAGACUAUAGACAAAGAGUAGGAGUUUUAUGAUACUAGAAAGUACAAUGUACACGGGAGGUAUAUGAGCUUUGUGUCUCUCACAGGAGAAUUCAGAGAAGUAAUUAUAGUCCCCGAGAUAGCCAUAAAUGCGGGAUGGAGUGAUAUCGCCCUUAAGAUUGACAACUUCAUUAAUAACUCUAUGCAACAGAGGUUUAAACAACCUCCAAAACAAACUAUUCCGUACGCCAAGGUGGUUGAACGCAGUAAAUGGCAACAACAGCACCCCAAGGUCAGCCAACUUGAUGGGAAGGGCCUACUAGGGAGAAGAAGUAUUAUUGGGUUCUUUGAAAGAUCUGAGACCCCUACACCAGCAGAUGUUAAAAGGUGGGCUACAUUAACCUGGAAAAAAGCCUUUGGGGUUAACGUUUAUGAAAUGACAGGACAUUUGUUCCUCUUUGAAUUCCCUAAUAGGCAUAUAGCUGAGCAGUAUUGCAAGGAGAAUGGGUUUAGAGAAACAAUAAGGCCCAACUAGAGUAGUGGAAUCCUCUAGUUGGGUGUGCGCCUUCUCAGCAAAGUCAAAAUUCAACAUGGACUAUAGCAAUGGGUCUUCCUUUGCACUUACAGAACAAAGACAUCUUCCAAGGGAUAGGUGAUAAGUGUGGAGGUUGGAAAAGAACAAAAGAGGAAACAAAGCUAAGGAAUCAUCUCAAAUAGGCUCGAAUUGAAAUCAAAGGUGACGGUAGUAAAAUACCCAAGGAGGUCUACAUAUCAAAAGAGGAAUACAACUUCAGAAUCCCGAUAUGGUUAGAGAAACCGACGACCUCCAAGAUUGAUCAAGACAUAGAACCGACGAGCUCACAUACAGUCAUGGCAGAAACGGUGAGGACAAGUGAAACUCUAGAAAUGGGCUUUGCACAAAGGUCUCUCCAGUGUUUUAUGAAGUCGUUGGAUAAUAACCUGAGGAAAAAAGCUUCAUUUGAAGUCAUUAAAAAUAUUGCAAAGCUGGCAGCUGUUGACUGGACAAAUCACGUGGACAUCAGUGAUUUUUCAAAAAAUAAAUCACGUGAUGGGCAUGUGAUUUCAUUAAACCUGGAAGAGGUGCAGUUGGGCCGACCUAACUCUGGGCUUAUCCAGAAGACUUCUGAAUUAAAUAACAAUUUGGCCCAAUCCAAUUUAGAGAUACAAAGCGUAAUUGGCAAAAGAACAGAGGAUCUCCAAACCAUCGAUGUAUCCUCAGAUAUAUCAGAAGACAUAAAAGGUCUGAACGACAUAGAGAUGAGCCAUGAAGAGACGGAUGGAGAAGCAAGACUGGAAGACAUAAAAAGGGUGGAUAAUUGCAAGGAAAAACAAAUUGCAAUCAGUAAUUCAAGCAAUUCAAGCAUGGGUGGAGAUAUUUGGGAGGUGGAGGAUGCUAUUCCAAUUACAAUAGAAUCAACGUCACAAAUCUUUGAGAAUGGGAAGGUCAUAUCAACUUGGGUGCGUCAGAAUAUCAUCAAGCUUGGCAAGAUGUUUGGAGCUGAUUUUAAAGGUAAUGAAGAGGAAACACUGAACUACUAAUGCAAAUAAACGCAUUCAAAUAGUUCAGAAAGUUGGAAUCAUCUUCAGAUAUCAAAAAGACCAGAUUCAAAGGAUCUAAUGAACUGAAACCUAAUCUCUUUAUGUUAAGUUCAAAAACAGUGAGGGUAGGAGCAAGGGGAAAGGGUGCAAACAGACUGAGAUAUAAAGCUCAAUCUAGUGUCGUGGAAUGUUAGGGGAUUAAAUGAUAGGGGAAGAGGAGGGUAGUGAAGAAUUGCAUAGAAAAGUGGAGGCCUGAUAUUAUUUGUCCACAAGAAACGAAGUUACAAGGAAACAUCCAAGAGUUAAUAAGACAAUUUUCUUUUUUUUUUAAGGGGGGGGGGGGGGGGGCUUUUUUUUUUUUUGGGGGGGGGGGGGGGGGGUAGAUGGUUCAAAUACUUAUGUCAAGAAGCAAGUGGAAUAAGAGAAGGGAUUACAAUGUUAUGGGAUAGUAGAGUUUGGAAGGGGGAGAUACUUGAAAUGGGGUUUCACACCUUAAUAUGCAGAUUUGAAGCAUUGCUCCAGAAUUUCAAUUAUCAUGUAACAGGGGUUUACGGACCAAAUUGCAAGUUAGAAAGAAGAGAAGUUUGGGAUGAAUUAGGGGAUGUUAAAGGUUUGAUAGAGGGUCCAUAGGUUCCCUUCAGAGAAAAUCCACUGCCAUGUUAGAAUUUUCAGACAUACUGAAGGAUCUAGAUCUGAUUGAUUUGCCACUUGAGGGGGGAAACUUCACUUGGUUCAAAGGAGACAUUCAUACUACAGCUUCCAGGAUAGACAGAAUCUUGUUUACUUCAGAAUGAAGUGAACAAUUCAGCAAGGUGAAGCAGACUGCUUUUCAGAGACUGAUAUCUGAUCAUGUUCCCCUAGCUCUACAAUGUGCUCCUUGGGAUCAAAACAAGUCAUAUUUCAAGUUCGAAAAAUUGGUGGCUAAAUACAGAAGGCUUCACAAAUAGAGUUAGUUCAUGGUGGAAUUCCUUCGCAUUCCAUGGGAAACCAAAUUAUAUACUAGUUUGCAAGCUUAAAGAUCUGAAAGAAAAACUUAAGGAAUGGAACAAAGAAGAGAGGUGAUUUGCAGAUCCAAAGAACCAACUUGCUUAAUAAAAUGGCACAUAUGGAUUCAUUAAUGGAGAAUAGAGCUCUAACAGAAGAUGAGGCAGCUUUGAAGACAACAACUUUUAUGGAGUAUGAAGAAUUAAUCAAAAAUGAAGAAAUAGCAUGGAGACAAUGGUCGAGAAUUUUAUGGUUGAAAGAAGGUGACAACAAUACUAAUUUUUUCCAUAUUUCUGCCAAUGCUCACAAAAGAAGCAAUUGCAUUGGCCAAUUAGAAGUCUAAGGGGAAUUAGUGAAGGAACCAGGCAGAGUUAAGGAGGAAAUAAUUCAGUUUUACUAGAAUUUGUACACUAGGCCAGAAAGGUGGAGACCAACAGGGAACAUGACAAACUGUCCAAAGAUUUCAGAAGUAGAAAAUAUACAAUUACAAGCUAAUUUGAGGAACAUGAGGUACAUAGUUGUUUGAAAAAAUGUGCUGCAGAUAAGGCCCUAAGGCUCCUGACCCAUGGUUACACCAUGGGAUUCUACAUCAAAUGCCAGGAUGUAAUAAAAAAUGACAUCAUGGAUGCCUUCCACAAUUUCUAUCAACAAGAAAUGUUUGGAGAUGGGUGCUCUUCCUUCUAUAUAUUUAGAGAUGCCAUUGGGGGCUAAAUCAAGAUCCGAAGAAAUCUGGGAGAAUGUCUUGGAGAAAUAUGAAAGAAAGUUGUCUAGAUGGAAAGCUCAAUAUCUAUCUUUGGGAGGCAGACUUACUUUGAUCAAUGUUGUUCUUAAUGCCCUCCUAACCUAUAUGAUGAUCUUAUUCUCCAUCCCAACAAGUGUGGUACAAAGGUUGGAUAAAAUCAGGGGAAGGUAACAAAAUCAGGGAAGGGUUUCACCUAGUGAAGUGGAAAGUUCUCAUAACCAGUAAAAAACAAGGAGGCCUGGGUAUCAAGAACUUGAAGAAUCAAUGUAAAGCACUGAAAAUGAAGUGGUUGUGGAGAUAUGCUCAAGAGUCACAAACUCUAUGGAAUAGGGUAAUCGGGCUGAAGUAUGGGGAUAUGAAUGGUUGGGUUACCAAAGAAGCAACCAAUCCUUAUAGUGUAACUGUUUGGAGGUCCAUCAGGAAUUAGUGGACUAUAAUGCAAAACCAUGUCGCCAUCAAAGUCUUUGAUGGUAACAAAACUGUCUUCUAGAAGGACCGGUGGUUAGGCAAUAAGAGUCUUACAGAGAUGUUCCCAGACUUGUUUGCUCUUGCUCAACAACAAGACAAAACUAUGGCUGAUAUGUGGUCUCCACAAGGUUAGGAUUUAAGCCUCAGACGAGACGAAACUUGAAUGAUUGGGAAAUCCCAAGAAUGGUGGAACUCCUUAAAGUUGUUGAAUCAUUUGAAGGUUUUAAAGAUUGAAAGGACAAACUUUGGUGGAAUAGACAUUACAAAGGGAUUUACGAGGUCAACUCUGGAUACAAGCUACUAAAUAAAACAACGCCACAAGCUAGCAGGUGGUCAUGGAAACAAAGCUGGAAAACCAAUACCCUCCUGAAGGUUGCGUGCUUCUCAUGGUUGUUAGCGAAGGAAGUUGUUUUAACACAUGAAAAUUUGAGGAAGAGGAAUAUAAUUUUAGUCACUCAUUGCUGUCUAUGUGGAGAGGCAGUUGAGACAGUGGGACAUUUAUUUUUGCAUUGCAAAUUCACUAGCCAACUAUGGAAGAUUUUCAUCAAUCUCAGAGGUAUACAAUGGGUAAUGCCUAGCAAGAUUGUUGACACUCUAUCUAGUUGGGAGGAAGCUGGGAAAGGAGCAAAGAACUUGAACUAUUGGAGAACUAUCCCAUCUUGUAUUUGGUGGACUGUUUGGAAGAAGAGAAAUGCUAGAAGUUUUGAAGACAAUGUAGAACACUUCAGAAGAUUAAGACAUACUGUAUUUUGCUUUUGAAUUUUUGGUGCACAAAGAACUCCCCUGUAGAGGUUGAAGAUAUCCUAGAAGUUUUAGAAUCUUGCUAGGAUGGGGAGCCUUUUCUUUUUUAUUUUUCUAUCUUCUUUUAGCUAGAUGCUCACUCUGUAAAGGGGUUUUAUGCACUACCUAAGUGCUGGUUUAUAAUACAAAUGUUACCUUCUCAAAAAUUAAAAGAAACAAUGUUGUAAGAGAACUAAAAUGAAUCUGUAUGGCCUCAGAGCCUUGUCUCCCACGCAAGGCAGAACUCACCACGACUUCCCUCACCUCUUCUUCUAUUUCCUUUCCAACUACUCCCUCAUCCCCUUCCUUAUUCGACUAAAUACCAACCCUCCCAUUUUUGUCCUCCAAGUAGUAUCUUCCUUGAAUGUUCAUAAAACCCCACAAUAGCCUUCUUUACUUCCUCCUCCCCUUAAAUACCUCUAUUUACUUCCAUGGGCUCAAUGAAGUUCCUCUUACUAUUUGGUACCACAACUUUAUGAAAUUUUUUGUAUUAGAAUCUCCCUCUUUUAGCCACAAUGUCCUCGAUUUUUGCCUCCAAGUAAUCUUUUGAGCAACCACUAAAUUGGCUAGCUCCCUUUUCACCUAAUCUUGAAGAGAAAUGUUAGAGUGGGUGAAAGUCCCAUAUUGGUUGGGGAAUGGACCAGUGGUCUGCUUAUAUGGACUUGGGCAAUCAUCCCCUUAUGAGCUAGGCUUUGGGGUUGAGUUAGGCCCAGGUGUCAUAUCCUUACAAUGGUAUCAGUGUCAAGUCCAUCCUUGUUUGGGCUCUCCGUCCAUGCUCUAGUUAAGGCAUGGGCCUGAAGGGGAUGUUUCAACUAUGGUAACUAAAUAUUCAAAUCCCUACAAAUAAGCUAUGUUAUCUAUAUACAUUAUUAUACAGAAACCAUACUUAUACUGAUGUGUGACUUAUUUUUAUUAUCUAGUAAAGUCACCAUUCGGUCAACUGGUUUAGAAUUUAAUAAAUAUUAUGUUCCCACAAAGCCACCACUCAAGAUUCCAAAUCCAUAAUCAAAAUCUUAUUUUCAUUGGAAAUUGAUGGUCAAUUGACCAUUUUCUCAAAUUCAGGCCUACAGCAAAAAACCCAUCAUCCUGUGAUUUUUUGUGUUAGAUUCAUCGCUGAAACAAUUUGUAGUGAUUAGAAAAGGUGUGUAACGAUAUGUUAAUGUUUCUCCUUGAUCCCCAAUGUUACCUUUUCCCCACAAGAUAUAUGCUCUCCACAUCUCCAAAUAUAAUUAAGAGUUUGCACUAGAUUUUCUUAUACAAACAACUGGGAUGAAUCUGGUAUCUUUAUAAUUGUUGCACCAAAGAAACGGUACACUUAAUUAUUUCACUGUUAAUUGUCUGAGACAUAUCUAACAGACUCAAAAUUGGAGAAAGUAGAAACUAGUUUCUACAAGUCACAAGUAAUGAUACAGACCUAACCAUGCGGGCAAGUUACCAUUGGUACCGCAUAUGCACAAAAUGAGGGGUCGGUUUCUUUAAUCUUUUUUUCUUUAAAUGCUAUUUAUGUGGAAAAGACCGUUUCGAAUUUUUUAUGCAGUUGAACAGAGAAAACUUUUACGGGUAGGGUAACCAACCGCUUAAUUUAAGUAGGUUGUGCUAUAGGUAAAUAUAUUUAUGUGAUAAAUCCUCAAAGCUUUUAAAGCCAGGAAAGUGAGCUUAAUUAUCAAUCUCAAGUUUUAAGGAUAAUUAACUGUCGACUCCAUGAAUCUAAAGGAUGCUGUGGAAUUUUCUAUUGAUGUGAUGUAAACAAAAGUGCUGCAGCAAAUUCAUCGUGCAAUCGUUCUUCAUGCCUUCUAGCAAUUAAAAGUCACAUAUCAUUGGAGACUUCCACGUAUGAAUUUUUGAUGACAUUGUUUUUUUUCUUUUUGUAUGAAUUAAGUAGGCAAUCAUGGAAGAAAUCUAGGAACAAGAAAUUAAAUUUUUACCCUUGUGGAGACACUAAAAUUUAUAAGCUGCACCUGCUGUCAUGCCUGAUAGAUCUCAGCGUGGAUUUUUAACUUAUUGUGAUUGAAAUAUUAAUUUCUUAUUAAUAUGUUUUUAGGAACAACAAAGUUGAAAGAAUUACACGGGACAGCUUGUAUUAGUGCAUUAUCUGGGACAUGGGGAGAUGAUCCUAAUGGAGAAGUAUAUCAUGUGUAUAAAAUGAACUUCCCUUGCAACAUCGAGGAAGUGAAAUAUUCCAGUUUUAUCCUUUUGCUUCAAUCAGAACUAGAUUACGAUGUGGGAAAUGUGGAAGUGGAGCUCUUCUUAGUUUCCAAGUUUGUCAAAUCUUCUGUGACGCAUUGUGGGAAAGUACAUUUGGAUGCCCAACAGGUUGAAACCGAGUGAAACUAUUUUUAAGUAUUUUUAUAAUUCACUUAUGUUAGCAUUUGCAUUUCAUAUCUGAUAAGCAGUAAAACAUUCAGGUUGCUAAAGCAAAAACAUUCCAAGAACUAUUCUUUAAUGGGUUGUUUGGUAAAUUAUUUAUUAAAUCAUUGGAUGGAAGGAAAUUUCUGCUUGAUACAAAAGAAUCUUUGUGGAAGCCAUCCAACAUGUACUUGCUUCUACCGCUGGAUCCUGUAGAUUCAAGUUGUGAACCCUACAGAGUUGAUUGGGGAGGAAUUGAAUCUUCCGUUUCAGUUGUGGAAUUUUUGAAAAAUAAUGCAUGGUUAAGCGCUGAGAAAUCUGAAACUAAACGGAAGAACUCCUUAGUUGACAGAACUGCAUCAUUUGUGGGAGAUCUUGAUCAAACAGAUCUGAUUCACUUCGCCAAUAUAUCAAUCUCAAGAAGCAGGCUUAAGGACAUGGUUGUUGUGGCCAUUCAUACUGGAAGAAUAUAUUCUGUUCUGGAAGCUGUUGCCAAUACUUCCUCAGAGAGCCCCUUUGAAGUAGAUUCGGAAGCUACUGUAUCGCCCUUUUCAUCAUUUGCUGACUACUUCCAUAAACAGUGGGAAUUUUUACCCAAGUUACUGUUUCUUAUUUAAUGCUUGAAAGUCCAGCAUAAGUUAAAUUUGUUAUGUUUUCUCUGUUGAUUAGGUAUGGGAUUGUUUUAGUGUAUCCUGGACAGCCUAUGCUGCUACUGAAGCAAAGCCAUAACGCAUACAAUCUUCUUGUGGAUUUUAAAAAGGAAGGUUUGUCAAGUUAUUGCCGAUUUUUAAUUAUUCCAAGUGUUACCCUAUAUACCAUCUCUUUUGGAAAUUUAUAACAUUUUUAGAAGUUUAAGACUCACUAGCAUGUGUUAAAGUUGCUAACCUUCAGGUGGUUUUGUUAUUGUAAACGACGAAAGGAAGUAGCAAACAAAAUUAUAGUAUAUUAGCUUUAAUGUGCCACAAAGGUUGGUGUACGAUCUGUGUACAUCUUACCAUCCUUAGACCUCAGUUGUGGGAUUAUAGGGGGUUUGUUGUUGUUGCAUCUAAGUAGUAAGCGCACCCCAAGAUGAAUUCUCUCGUAUUCCAACUUCCCCAGAGCUUCCGGUAGCACAACCUUUGUGCCAUUUAAGUUUUUUUACGUGUUACUAUUGUUAGUUCUUAAAAUAUGUUCUCUACAUAUCCGCAUUUAAAAUGGAGUGAUUCAUAUCUUUACCCCUAAUUAGGUUCUAAACAAGUUUGUGAUAGGUCAGUGAGUAUGGAAUUGGUCGACAAAAUUGUUCUACAUAUAUCCAGUGUACUAAUACUUGUGUCAACUCUUUUGGAAGAAAAAACGUUGUUUGGCAAGUGUAUAGUGCCUUUAGGCAUAAGUAGGUGUGAUAGCAAGUUGCUGAUUGUCCCAAUGAGAGGAUCAUAGGAUGGUCUUUGGAGCACAUUAAACUCCACUCACACGUUAUCUGCAAAUAGGCUAAUUGAUUUCAACAACUGCAAAAAGACAUUAGGAUGCAUCCUAAUAAAUUCGAAGAUGAAGAGAAUAGAGUUUGGGAAUUAGUGUCUUGAUUAUUCCCUCAAGGUAGUGGGAUUAAAUAGUGUCACAGAGAAUGCAAUAAGGAAGGAAACUAAUGCGAAUAUUACACAAUAUUCGAUGUGCCUAAUUAUGGGGAUUUGGGAUAUUCCCAUAUCUACGUUAUCUAAUUAUUGAGAUAUUCUCAUAUCUACAUUAUCUCACAAUAAUAUCAUAUUUAAAAUGCCCCCUCAAGAUGGAGCUUAUAAGUCAUAUGCUCCUAGCUUGCCACAAGUAUAGUCAAUUCUAGAUCUUCAGAAUGAUUGUGUUAUAUCUGCCGGUUGAUCUUUCGAGUUGACAAAACUUGUAGAGCUAUAUCCAAACACAAUCUUCUCUCGAAUGAAGUGACAAUCUAUCUCAAUGUGCUUCGUUUUUUCAUGAAACACGACAUUAGAAGCGAUAUGUAGUACAACUUGGUUAUCAGAAAUCAAUUUCAUCAGUUCAACUCCUCCCAUCUUCAAUUCUUGGAGAAGGUUGCCUCAACCAUAAAAGCUCACAUGUAGCCAAUGGCAUAGUUCGGUACUCCGCCUCUGCGCUUGAUCUAGCCAUGACAUCUUGCUUUUUACUUUUCCAAGAUAUUAGAUUACCUCCGAUUUAAACACAAUAACUUAAAGUGGAUCUCAUAUUAGAAGGAGUCCCAGCCCAAUCUGUAUCAGAAUAGCCAACAACAAUAUGGGUGUGUCCCUUGUCUUCAUACAAUUAACCUUGUCCUAGAAAGCUUUUGAUAUAUCUCAGAAUGCAAAUCACCGCAUUCCAGUGACUAUCACAAGGUGAUUGUAGAAAUUGCUAACUACACUAACAACAAAUGAGAUGUCUGGUUGUGUGAUCGUAAGGUAGUUGAGUUUGCCAACAAGUCUCCGAUAUCUACUAGGAUCUUUUAGAGGCUCCCCCUAUCUUGGAAUAAGCUUAGCAUUUGAAUCCAUGGGAGAGUCCACAUGUUUGCAAUCCAACGUACCAUUGUUUUCCAAAAUGUCUAAGGUAUAUUUUCUUUGUGUAAUAGCAAUACUAUUGCUAGACUGUGCCACUUCAAUGCCUAGAAAGUAUUUCAGCUUGCACAAAUCCUUAGUCUGAAAGUGACUUGGUUGUUUGAGUCGAAAAAUACUCACUUGUGAUAACAAUAUCAUCAACAUAAACAAUUAAAAAGAUACGUUUUCCAUGAGAUGAAUGCCUAUAAAAUAUGAAAUGAUCAACUUUUAUUCGUAUCAUUCAAAACUCUUGAACAACUCGAAACGACCAAGCCAUGCUCUAGGAGAUUGCUUGAGACCAUAAAGGGAUCGGUGAAGUCUACAUACUAGUCCAGACUCCCCCCGAGCAACAAAUCCUGAUGGUUGCUUCAUAUAAACCUCCUCAGCAAGUUCUCUGUGUAGGAAUGCAUUUUUAUUGUUGAGCCGAAAAAAGGUCAAUGUUUCAUUAUUGCCAUAGAUACGAGAAGUCGAAUAGAAGGCGACAACUGGUAAGAAAGUAUUUCCAUAGUCAAUGCCAUAAAUCUGAGUGUAUCCUUUAGCAACCGGUCUCGUUUUGAGAUGAUUAAUAGCUCCAUCUGAACCUACCUUAUAUGUGAAUAUCCAACAACAACCAAUAGAGGUUUUGCCUUUCGGUAAAAAAAAAAACAAGAUCCCAAGUACCAUUGUCAUGCAAAACAAUCAUUUCUUCAAUCAUAGCCUUACGCCAACCUGGACAAACCAAUGCUUAUGCCAUAACUUUUAGGAACUUUGAUAGUGGAUAAGUUAGUAAUGAAGGCAUGAUAUGAAUGUGACAAACGGCGAUAACUUAAAUAGGUGUAAAUGAGAUCUUGAUUGGAUGUAGUUCUAAGUAUAACUUAAAUAAGUGUAAAUGAGAGCUUGAUUGGAGGUAGUUCUAAGUACCUUUGCAAAGAGCAAUGGGAAGAUCAUCUAAUGUGUGCUUGGCCGGAGCAGAAGACAUUGUUAUAGCAGGUAAUGAAUCACCAAGAGUGCUUUGUGUACCUGUAUCAGAGUUAGAAAUAGUAACUGAAUUAGCAGUCUCGGAAGGAGGCUGAGGUCGUCAGAAAUAGACCUUAAGAGAAAAAGGUGAAGCUAGGAGUGGAAUAGUUGGAAUUGGAAGGACUGUUGAUAUGGUGUUUUGAUUUUUGGUAUUAGAAGAAAAAUAUGGAGAAGGCUCGAAAAAGGUAACAUCUGCUGAGAUCAAGUACUUAUUAGUAGAGGGGUCAAAGCAUUUGUAAUCUUUUUGUUGAGAGAAUACCCAAGAAAGACAUUUAAAAGUCUUGUGCUGAAGUUUAUCUUUUCGAGGAGUAGGAGUAAGAGGUUAUGAACAAAACAGGUGCAACCAAACACACUUAGAGGAAGGGGAAACAAAUUCUAGCCCGGAUAGAGGAUUGAGUGUGGAAUCUUGUACUGCAAAAUAGAAGAAGGCAUACGAUUGAUUAAAUAAUAGGCAAUAAUAACGACAUCACCCUAAAAACGUAAAGGCACAUGAUUGUGAAUGAGCAAUGUUCGAGCUGUUUCAAUUAGAUGUUUGUUCUUUCGCUCAUCAACUCCAUUUUGUUGAUGAGUAUGUGAACAAGAAGACGAGUGCAAUAUGCCAUGAGAAGACAUAAAAGAAGAGAAAGAGGUGGAGAAAUGUUUCCGGGUAUUAAUUAACUUCUUACUGGAAGUACCAAAUUGACUGUAAAUUUCAACCCAAAAUUUCUGUUAGAGAAUAAAUCAGAUCUAUUUUUCAUUAAGAAUAACCACGUGCAACGAGAAUAGUCAUCAAUGAAAGACAUAAAAUAACGAAAACCUAAGGAAGUACUGACAUGACUUGGACCCGACCCCAUAUGUCUGAAUGAACAAUUUCAAACAUAGAAGUGGCCCUAUUAUUGACGCGUUUUAGGAAAAAGGAACGAGUGUGUUUCCUAAGAUGACACGACUCACAGUCUAACAAAGAUAAACUAGGUAACCUGGGAACUAUCUUCUAUAGUUUCAAGAGACUUAGAUGACCUUGUUGAUUAUGGAGCAACUUUGAGGAAGUAGUGGAGGUGAAAGCAACAUGUGGUUGUGGGGUGGAUAGCAGGUACAAUCCCUGUGACUCAUGUCCUUUUCCAAUUAUCUGUCUCGUAUUAUGGUCCUGCACAAGAACAAUAUCAUCAAGGAAUGUUACAUCACAUUUCUUGUUUUUGGUUAAUUUGCUAAUGGAAAUAAGAUUAUAUGGACAUUUAGGUGCAAAAAAAACUGAUUUUAAAGGCAUGCAAGGCAGAGGGUGAGCUACACCUAUCCUUUUUACAACAGUCUUUGAUCAAUUAGCCAAAGUCACAAUAGAGAGAAUAGAUUGGGUAGAAAGAGAAGAGAGAGUAUUUUUGUUACCAAUAAUAUGGUCAGAAGCACCAGAAUCAAGAAUCCAUUGUUCCUGUGAUAACUGUGUGACAUAAGCAAAUGAGUUAUCAAGUUGCAUUGUGCAAGCAGCUGAAGCUGAUGACUGUUGCCUUGAUGCUUUGUACUAUAGGUAGUCAAUAUUGUUUGUUGCAGUUAAAGUGAUAGAUAUAGAUGAUCUAUCCCUGAAAUUAGGCGUGGGCAAAGUACCAUCUCCAUUAUGUGCCACAUUUGUUGUGUAUCUAGGGUGGUUAUUAUCAUGUGGAGGCAUGAUUUAUCACCAGAAAGAUCUUUUUUUUCGGGGUAAAAAAAGGGAGGAAAAUUCGAGAAAGGAGGGCUCUGAUACGAUGAGAAAUUAGAAGGAGAAGAGAAGAGAGUUUGAAAUUAGUAUCUUGAUUAUUCCCUCAAGGUAGUGGGAUUAAAUAGCGUCACAGAGAGUGCAAAUAAGGAAGGAAACUAAUACAAAUAUUACAUAAUAUUCUAAGUGCCUAAUUAUGAGGAUUUUGCGAUAUUAUCUAAUUAUUGAGAUAUUCUCAUAUCAACAUUAUCUCAUAAUGAUAUCAUAUUUAACAUAUCCUUAUAUUCUUUUACCCUUGUCAUAAGUAAGGCUUUAAUUAUUUGAAUUAAAAUAGUUCUUGUAGUAUAUCCAACUGAAUUUACUUUAGGCAGCUGUGGUGUUUGUACUGAAAAGUCCUGCGUGAUUAGUAAUAUGUAAAUAUCUGCUACAAAACUUGUUGUGGAAACAUCUCUAUGGUCAUAUAUUUUACAUUUUAAACUGGGAGUGAAAGUUGACCACGUGAAGAUAACCUUUCAAGUUCAACUUGAUAAAGUUCUACCUGAGUUCUCUAGAAAGAAUAGAUCUACAUUGAACUUGGCGCUGUUACCUAGUAGGUGCACUGGGCUUAUUGUUUGGAGAUUAUUUAAGCAGGCAUUUCUUGUGGUCCGAAGUCAAAAGAUAGUACAAUGGUCGUUCAAAAGCCACAGAAUAAUGUUCACAUGCCACCAGAACUUCUGGUCUGUAUUGACAUUCGGAUAGACAUCUUGAAAUCCUUCUACUUGCUACCUUCAUUAAUGCACCGCCUGGAGUCCCUGAUGUUGGCUAGCCAGUUGAGGAAAGAGAUAAGUCAUUCAGGCGACUUACAUAUAUCAAGCUCAUUGGUUUGUCCUAUCAUUUGCUCAGCUAAAUUUGAUGACUUACAUUUGACUUUUAUCUAACUAAAUUCUUUCAUGGUCAGAUUCUGGAAGCUCUUACAACUCUAAGAUGCAACGAGAGUUUCUCCAUGGAACGUCUGGAGUUGCUUGGAGACUCAGUUCUGAAGUAUGCUGUUAGUUGUCACCUCUUUCUUAAAUAUCCCAAGAAGCAUGAAGGGCAGCUAACUGGUCAGCGUUCACAGGCUAUUACUAACUCAGCCCUCCAUAAAUUGGGAACUAAUCAACAUUUGCAGGUAUGUAAAGCUUUUUCUCCGUACUUCAGGAAAAAGAGGAACUGCUUGAAGACCAUUUCUUGAAUCCAGUCAAGAAUGUGAAUAUAUAAUAUCUUAACCAGUUCAUAUUUAAAUUUAUUCUUAAAAGUAAAAAUGAAACUAGUUGUCGUAUAUUUCCUUCUCCAGCUAAAAUGGUCACAGCAGUAUGGUGUGAGGAUCAGAUAUUGAUGUGGGAAAUGAGAAUGACAGUGUGUGGUAGUGCAAACAAACUUACUGAAAAUCAGGUUUGUUUGAGAUGGGUAGUUUUCUCUUUUGGUGGUGGGGGUAUAACUUUUUUUAUUUGGUUCAGUUUGUCCAAAUUCCAUGUGGAUGAAUGGCGACGUUUCAUUCUUCCGGUCGAGUAUAGUCUUCAAUGGCAACAUAUUUUGUUUGCAUUUGUGGAAUCCUUCUUGUUGUGUUAUUCGCCAAAGAAAUGUGGAUAUUCUAUCCUUGCCACCUGCCUGAAGCUUCGCUUUUAUACUCUUCUGCUUUUAAUCAUGCUUUACAUGUCUAAUCGCAGGGUUAUAUAAGGGAUGGCGCAUUUGAUCCACGCCGAUGGACUGCUCCUGUACAGCUUUCCCUACGACUUUUCACUUGUGAACAUGGGGUUGAAACUUCAGAAGUGCCUUUGGACGAGAAAUUUCAAACCGAAGACAAAGUAGUGGUCGGGAAGCACUGUGAUAGAGGACAUAGAUGGAUGGGUUCAAAAACAAUAUCUGACUGUGUUGAAGCGCUGAUAGGUGCAUAUUAUGUUGGUGGCGGUUUAGUUGCUGCCCUCAAAUUGAUGAAAUGGCUUGGUGUUAAAGCUGAGCUUGAACCGUCAUUAGUGGAGGAUGCAAUUAGUACUGCAUCUUUGUAUUCUUAUACCCCUAAAGCUAAAGAUAUUGACGACCUUGAGUUGAAGCUGGCCUAUAAAUUUUCUGUUAAGGGAUUGCUACUAGAAGCUAUAACACAUGCUACUGUGCAAGAGCUGGACGUUGGUUACAGUUAUCAGGUUGGUUAAAGAAUAGUCCCUAAUUUUUUAUUUUGUUUGAGAACUGGUAAUGUAAAGAGUAGUCUCUAAUGUGGAUAUAAAUAUCAAUUAAUGCUGAUUAUGCAUCAUUUUUUUUUUUUUGAUCAAGUAUAGUAUUUUCAUUCAUAAACAUGGCCAACUGGCCGUAUACAAAAUGUAGAGAAUUUGCAAAAUGCUAUGAAUCUCUACAAAUUCCACCCAAUCAUCCAUAACAUAGGGGACUUUCUGUGUAAACCAAAAGAAAAUAAGGGACCAUAGACUACUUCUCUACUGAGAGAAACUUGACUCUACCCCUUCAAAAGCUCUCCUAUUUCUUUCUCUCCACACAACCACAGUAAUGCUAGUGGACCAUGUUCCAAGCCCUUUCGUCGUCUUCUCCUUCUCCAACUCUUCCAGCUGAACAUCAAAUCUUUCACAGUUUUUUGGCAUUACCAAUGGAGUACCAAACCACCUAAAUAUAUCCCCCCAUAGUCUUAUGGUAAGCCUGCAAUGUAGAAGGAGAUGAUCCACAUGCUCACCCGCCUCUUUACAAUGCAGCACCAGCUGUGCAUUAUACUUCAUAUUAGUCAUGUUUCUCUUAAGAUAUGCAUUGUUGUCAGCUUAGACUCUUAUUUUUUGUCAAAUCUGUGACAGAGGCUUGAAUUUCUUGGCGACGCAGUACUGGACAUUCUCAUUACCUGGUACCUUUACCAGAAGCAUAAGGAUAUUGAUCCUGGGGAACUGACAGAUCUGCGUUCUGCUUCUGUCAAUAAUGAUAAUUUCGCUUAUGCUGCUGUGAGAAGUGAUCUUCAUGUCCACCUUCAACAUCGUUCUGGAUAUCUUGAAAGUGAAAUAUCAUUGUUCGUGAAGUCAGUCUCUAAUUCUUGUUCACUCCAAGGAAACAAAGCCCCAAAGGUUCUAUUACUGAUGCUCCACUUACAUGUCACUGUAACCAUAUGUUAUUGAUCUCAGUUCCAACUAUAGUCUUGAAUGUCUCCUAGGAUAUAACAUUGCUGAGCAUAUGCCACAUUAAUCCACCUAUAAUCUGUCAAAUAUUUAGAGCAGGCUGGUUGUAUUCAUGGGAUAAUAAUUUGUCAUAGGUACUUGGAGACUUGGUAGAGAGUAUUGCUGGAGCAGUACUUAUUGAUACUAAGCUUAACCUGGAUGAAGUUUGGAAGAUCUUCAAGCCACUAUUGUCUCCCAUCGUGACUCCUGAUAAGCUUGAACUACCUCCAUUGCGUGAGCUCAUAGAAUUAUGUGACUCACUUGGCUACUUUUUGAAAGACCAUUGCGUGGUGAAGGGGGAUUCAGUGAAUGCAGAGCUUAGGUUACAGCUGAAAGAUGAACUGCUGGUCGCUGAGGGAUCUGGACAAACUAGAAAGAAUGCAAAGGCACAAGCAGCUCUGAAGUUACUGAAGGACUUAGAGGUAUGUCUUACCAGGAAGAUGAUUCUCAUCCAAUGUUUGGUCCUUUUUUCUGCCAUUAGAUGAGCCAUAAUUUGUGUGAUGGGAACGUCCUUAGGUAAUAUGGAAAAGAAUGAUGAGAAGAAAGAAAAUCAUGGCGGGUAUUGUUGUACUUAUGUUCGUGAAAGUUACCAUUGCAACUGCUGAUGUUGUAAUGUUAAACUUUCUUGUCAGCCGCGCUUCAUUUUUGUUUUUUCAUUUUGUUUCUGAAACUGAUUCAUCUUUUCUGGGUUCAAGUGUAGACUAAUGAGUUGGUUGCUUUCCAAGUCGUGUGAUGUCUAUCAAAGUACUAUAACUAGAAAGAGAGUGCGGAAAUAACUAGGCGUUUAUUUUUUUUAAUCAGAAUUAGCUUUUGUAUGCCAUUUCGAAUUUGAAAAGAGAACUUUAUGAUAUUAAUGAAAUCUCUGAAGAUGCCGACAAAUUUGUUAUAAUAUAUUAUGUGCUAGCAUGCAUAUACAGUAUCUAAAGGUCAGUGACUAGCUCAUCAUAGAUCUGUAUUACAUGGUGUAAUAAGUUGGAACAAAAACCAUACUUGAUAAGACGACUUUAUUCUCUGCAUUUUCCAUUACAAUUAAUGUUGAACUAGAUGGUAAGUUCCAUCUAGAAUUGACCAAGUGAAUUCUUCAAUUAUGUAUUGCCGGACAUCCAAGCUUUGGAUAGAGUUAUUUCUCACAUUGUUUGACCCUUGUAUUCUAACAACAGAAAAAAGGAAUUUCAUCCAAGAAGAGAAACGAAGAGACCAGCCUUGUUGAUGUGCCACAAUCUUUAGGCUUUGAUGGUGACAUCUGCAGCCAGGCAAAUACUACUUGUCCUGAUAUGGAUACAUGCAAAAAGCAAAAGAAAAUAUGUUUGAAUUUAAAGACGGAAAAAGCUCAAUCUGUUCAGAGUGACUGCUUCACCAGUGCUUGUCAUUCAAAUCAGGACAUCCAAGGUAUGCGCUUGAAAUUACUGUAGCAAAAGGAAAAUUCUUAUUUCUUCAAUGAAAUAUUGAAUCACCCCAGCCUUAAGAAGCUUUUCAGGAUACCUUUUAAUAAAAAUUAACUUAUCAAGAAAUGGCCAUCCACUACUAGCACCAACAUACCCGCCCAACUUUUAUCACAUUAUUUGAUUUUCUAGGGUUUAUCUGUUUAGGAUGUAGCAUACAAGUAUCUGGAGCUCAAUCAAAAUAAAUAUUAUUCGUAUCUAAUGUUUACUUAGAUAUAUAUACUUCUAUAUAUGUAUGACUUUGUUUGACUCGGCAAGAUUAAAGGGAAAUUGCAUACAUUUUUAACUGGAGCAAGAUAGAGAAGUUUCUCAGGUACACAGGAAAAUUUUAAUAACGUAGUUAGUUGAAAGUAUAUCUCAUUAAGAUUGAAUAACUGAAGUACACUUAGUUUCUUCUCUUUGAGGAGAAGGGGCCAAACAUUUUGGCUAAGUACAUUUUAUAAUUUUAUUCUAUAGUUACUGUUAGAAUAUGUGUAGAAAUAGGAAUAGUAUAUACAAAAUCCUACUUGAAAAAGGAUUGUACUAUAGUGUCGAUAAAUAGGGUCUUGAUGUAAUUAUGUCAACACAUCAUUCAAUAAUAUUUUUCAAUUCUCACAUGGUAUCAGAGCGUUGUGAGAAACCUCAGUCACGCCAAUUCCGGUGACUGAUUUGCAUCAUAUUUAAUUUUGUGGGUUGUGUGAACAAUACAAUACCACCAAUAGGAUCGGAACGAUCAGGCGAUAAAAACCCAACCAAAAUCACCGGAAAAGAACCAUCCAUGCGCCCCCAUGCGCCAGUCGAAAUCCCGAAAUUCCGGCGAGAUCUACUUCACGCGCCGGCGCGUGAGCACGUCUCCGGUUCAAUUUUUCAAUUUUUCUUUUUUUUCUGUUGGGGUCGCCGGUCUAUUCCGACUCCAACCACAUACUCUUUUCCAGAUUUCGUCAAGUAUUUGGAGAUUCCGAUCGUCGGAACUUAAAAUACGGCAACUUCAUAAUUUUGGUAACUGUUUUCCGUUUCCAGCAACUGGUUUUUGGGAGUUGUAAAGUCAAAUUACCAAGAUGUUUUUUGGGCAUGAUAUUUUUGGCUCUAAAAAUAUACGAAUUGGAAGUUCAAGUCCUAUGAUCACUUCCGAACCUUUAAUGGAAAGUUCAAAUUAUUUAGCCUGGGCUUCCUCGGUUGAGUUGUGGUGCGAAGGUCAAGGUGUCCAAGAUCAUUUAACGAGCAAGGCUAGUGUGGUAGAUGAAAAGGGAAAGUCUAGCAUGGAAGAUGCGAAAGCUAAAGAGCAAUGGGAGAAAGUUGACGCUCAACUAUGUAGUCUCUUACAACAAUCUAUUGAUUCCAAGUUGAUGCUCUUGUUUCGUCCAUUCCAGACGUGUUAUUUGGUUUGGAAAAAGGCGCGUGCUUUAUACACUAAUGAUAUAUCUCGUUUUUAUGAUGUGAUAGCUCGAAUGACCAACUUGAAGAAACAGGAAUCCGAUAUGUCUACUUACUUGGGACAAGUACAAGCAGUCAUGGAAGAAUUUGAUACAUUGAUGCCCGUCAUUGCGGAUGUAAAAAACAACAAGAGCACAGGUAGAUGUUGUUUUUAGUUCUUACACUUGGUGGACUUUCUAUUGAUCAUGAUGUUGUACGUGAUCAGAUUUUAGCUAGUCCUACGGUUCCUACAAUUGAUGAGUUAUUCUCUCGUUCGUCUUGCCGCGCCUCCCAGUCUCAAAGUAGUUUCAUCACCCACUGUUGACUCUUCUAUUCUUGCAUCUCAAACCAUAGAAAAACGAACAUAUUAGCCUAUGGAAAAUCGGCGAGGAGGAGAUCGUUUUGGAAAAUCUCGAUCGAAGUGUAGUUAUUGUCAUAAAGUUGGACACACUCAGGAUAUAUGUCAUAGUUUGCAUGGUCCACCACCCAGUUAUGAUCCUGCUGCUGUAAAGGAAUAAAUGAGUUCCUUCGGAAUCGAGCAAGUAAGCCGACAUCUCCACAGCCUAAUCGACCAUCCAAUAAUGCUCAUAUUGCCCAAACAGAAUAUAAUGAGUUCCUCCAGUAUAGACCAAGUAAGAAGACAUCUCCACAAGUAGCCUCAGUUGCCCAGCCUGAUGCUUCUGUUGCUGGUAAUCCUUUUGCUUGUGUUUCACAGUCUAGUACUCUUUGAUCAUGGGUUGUAGACUCAGGUGCUUCUGAUCUUAUUUCUAGUAACGAAUCUCUUUUGUUUGAUAUUUUUUAUUCACAAUCUCUUCCUGCUAUUACUUUAGCCAAUGGGAUCCGAACAAAACCAAAAGGAAUUGGACAAGCCAAACCCCUAUCUUCUGUCACUCUAGACUCUGUUCUUUAUGUCCCUGGUUGUCCUUUUAAUCUUGCAUCUGUUAGUCGUUUGACACGUGCCCUUAAUUGUAGCAUAACUUUUCUUGAUGACUCUUUUCUAAUGCAGGACCACAGUACGGGACAGACGAUUGGCGCAGGACAUGAAUCACAAAACCUUUACCAUCUCACCUCUUCAAAUUCCUUCACAGCAUGCUCCGUUACAGACCCUCCAGCCCUAAUUCACAAACGUUUAGGACAUCCGAGUCUAUCCAAGCUACAAAAGAUGGUGCCUAGUUUGUCUAGUUUAUCCACAUUAGAUUGCGAGUCAUGUCAACUUGGGAAACACACCCAUGCUACUUUCCCACGUAGUGUUAAGAGUCAUUCAAAGUCUAUUUUCUCAUUAGUACAUUCUGAUGUUUGGGGUUCUAGUAUAGUCAGUUCACCUUUAGGUUUUCAUUAUUUUGUUAGUUUCAUUGAUGAUUUUUCAAGAUGUACUUGGGUUUUCUUAAUAAAAGAUCGUUCUGAGAUAUUUUCUAUAUUCAAAAGUUUUUGUACUGAAAAACAAACUCAAUUUGGUGUUUGUAUUCGUACUUUUCGUGGUGACAAUGCCUUAGAAUACGUACCCUCUGAGUUUCAGGAGUUUAUGACUCAUCAAGGAAUUGUUCACCAGACAUCUUGUCCGUACACCCCACAACAGAAUGGUAUAGCAGAAAGAAAAAAUAGACAUCUUCUUGAGACUGCUCGCACUCUUCUCAUUGAAUUCCAUGUUCCGCUGCAAUUUUGGGGUGAUGCAGUCCUCACGUCUUGUUAUCUAAUUAAUAAAAUGCCAUUAUCUUCCCUUCAGAAUAAGGUUCCCUAUUCUAUAUUGUUUCCACUGUCACAUCUCUACUCUAUCCCCCCUCGUGUCUUUGGGAGCACAUGUUUUGUUCAUAACUUAGCCCCUGGAAAAGAUAAAUUAGCCCCUUGUGCUCUCAAGUGUCUCUUCCUUGGUUACUCUCGAGUUCAAUAGGGGUAUCGUUGUUAUUCACCAGAUCUUCGUCGCUACUUUAUGUCCACCGAUGUCACUUUUUUUGAAUCUCGACCUUACUAUAUAUCUUCUAAUCGUCUUGAUAUCUCUGAGAUUUUACCCGUAUCUCCGGUCUUACCCGCACCAUCCUUGGUCUUACCCAUAUCUCCAGACUUACCCGAACUAACCUUUAAGGAAUCAACGGUUACUUCUACGUCCCCUACUACAGUGCCACCACUUCUGACUUAUCAUCGUCGUUCGCGUCCACCUUUAGUCCCAGAUGAUUCAUGUCAUGCAUCGGGUGCUGCUCCUACUGCGGACUUGCUUUCUUCUAGCCAAUCAGUUGCACUUCAAAAAGGUAUGCGUUCCACUCGUAAUGCUAACCCACACUAUACUUUCUUGACUUAUCAUCGUUUAUCAUCACCCCAUUAUGCUUUUGUAUCGUCUUUGUCAUCUAUUUCCAUACCUAAGACUAUCGGUGAAGCACUCUCUCAUUUAGGAUGAAAGCAGGCUAUAUGAUAGAUGAGAUGUCUGCUUUACAUGUAAGUGGUACUUGGGAGCUUGUUCCCCUUCCUGUAGGUAAAUCUAUUGUUGGUUGCCGUUGGGUUUAUGCAGUCAAAGUUGGUCCAGAUGGUCAGGUUGAUCGGCUUAAGGCUUGCCUUGUUACCAAAGGAUACACACAAAUAUUUGGGCUUGAUUAUAGUGACACUUUUUCUCCAGUGGCUAAAAUAGCAUCUGUCUUUCUUUUUCUAUCCAUUCCUGUCGUUCGUCAUUGGCCUCUUUAUCAGUUGAAUAUUAAGAAUGUUUUUUGCAUGGUGAUCUUGAGAAAGAAGUCUAUAUGGAGCAACCACCUGAUUUUGUUGCUUAGGGGGAGUCUAGUAGCCUUGUAUGUCGAUUGCGCAGGUCACUCUAUGGUCUGAAACAGUCUCCUCGAGCUUAGUUUGGAAAAUUCAACACAGUAAUUCAGCAGUUUGGCAUGAUUCUAGUGGAGCUGAUCACCUAGUGUUUUAUCGACAUUCUCAACCAAAUUUGUGUAUUUAUCUGGUGGUUUAUGUUGAUAUUGUUAUUACCGGCAAUGAUGAAGAUGGUAUCUCUAAAUUGAAGCAACAUCUCUUUCAGCAUUUUCAGACCAAAGACCUCGGCAGACUGAAAUAUUUUCUAGGUAUUGAGGUUGCUCAGUCCAGAUCAGGUGUUGUUAUUUUUCAACGCUAGUAUGCCUUAGACAUUCUUGAGGAGACGGGAAUGAUGGGAUGUAGACCCAUUGACACUCCUAUGGAUCCAAAUGCCAAACUUCUACUAGGACAGGGGGAGCCACUCAGUGAUCUUGAAAGGUAUAGGCGGUUGGUUGGAAAGUUGAAUUAUCUCACCGUGACUAAACCUGACAUAUCCUUUCCUGUGAGUGUUGUACGUCAGUUUAUGACCUUUCCCUGUGAUAGUCAUUAGUCAUUGGGAUGCAGUUGUUUGUAUUCUGCGAUAUAUAAAGUCAGCUCCAGGUAAAGGACUACUCUUUGAGGAUCGAGAUCACGAGCAUAUCAUUGGAUACACAGAUGCUGAUUGGGCAUGAUCACCCUCUGAUAGACGUUCUACCUCCGGAUAUUGUGUUUUAGUAGGAGGUAAUGUGGUGUCUUGGAAGAGUAAGAAACAGAGUAUGGUUGCUCGAUCUAGUGCAGAAGCAGAAUAUCUAGCAAUGGUUGUAGCAACUUGUGAGCUAGUUUGGAUCAAACAGUUGCUGAGAGAAUUAAAAGUUGGAGAAACCGGUAAGAUGGAACUUGUGUGUAAUAAUCAAGCAGCCCUUCAUAUCGCAUCAAAUCCAGUGUUUCAUGAGAGGACUAAACACAUAGAAAUUAAUUGUCACUUUAUCAGAGAAAAAAUACUCUUAGGAGAUAUUUUUACAAAAUUUGUUAAUUCAAAUGAUCAACUUGCAGAUAUCUUCACCAAGUCCCUCACCGGUCCUCGUAUUAAUAACAUUUGUAACAAGCUCGGUACAUAUGAUUUGUAUGCACCGGCUUGAGGGGGAGUGUUAGAAUAUGUGUAGAAAUAGGAAGAGUAUAUACAAAAUCCUACUUGGAAAAGGAUUGUACUAUAGUGUCUAUAAAUAGGGUCUUGAUGUAAUUAUGUGAACACAUCAUUCAAUAAUAUUUUUCAAUUCUCACAGUUACACAUAUUAUUCCUUCCCCGAACCCUGCUAAUGCAGGAUGCUUUGUGCAUCGGGCUGCUCUUAUUUCUUUUUUUUUUUGUUACACUAUUAUCUCGUUUGGUGGAGUACCAUGGUCCCUCUCUAUAAGAAUAAGGGGGACAUUCAGAGUUACAAUAACUAUAGGGGGAUUAAGUUAUUGAGUCACUCUAUGAAGAUCUGGG